RNAcentral lists this long non-coding RNA (50986 nucleotides) under Fragaria vesca (wild strawberry). Its description in RNAcentral is "long non-coding RNA (FVES_LNC003142)". The record is from RNAcentral. Lineage: Eukaryota; Viridiplantae; Streptophyta; Magnoliopsida; Rosales; Rosaceae.
UUUUUUUUUUUUGUCGUGUCUUCUCUUUGAGCGAGGGUUUAGGGUUUUGAUAAGUUGGUUUCGUUGGUUUUGUCAUUAGGUAUACCAUGGUUAUGGUAUCAUUUCAAGAGACUAUUUUUAAGUCGAUUAUUUCUUGUGAUAAAAGUAAUGAGGAGGUUGCAUGUACACAUAUGCCGGCUGUUUUGGCAUAUAAUGUCUGAAAGGUUUGUUUCUUCUUGAGAUUGACCAGUGAUGGAAGCAGGAUUUUUUUAAGUGGGCCGGGGGCAAAUUUCAUUGCAAUAGUUCAAUACAAACUAUAUGGGGGCCAAUUAGUUCAAAUUCCUCAUAAUAUGUACUUAAGUUGCUUUAUUUGGCCAUUAGUUUUUCAAGAAAUGAUAAUCAAGUGGGGGCAAUAACCCCUAAAAGCUUGUAUAUGCGUCCGCCUAUGAUUGUAACGAUGUAUUGAGGCUUCUGGAAUAUGUUAUAUAGAUUACGGUUGAACCCGUUUCGAUUGGUGUCCAUUGUAAUAGCUGGAGUUUAGGUAGGGGGCGAGUGGAGAAUUUAUGUCCCCACUAAUAUCUCUUAUGGUUUGUAACUUUAGUUCAUAUAGUUCAUAUAUAUUACAUAAAGUAUUACCUUUUAACAAAAAUAAAAUAAAAUAAAAUAAAAAAAUAAUAAUAAAUCAAUAAACAAAUCGUUCUAUGUCAUGGUAGUCAGCAAGUGAUACAAUACAUAUACAAAAAUUCUAAUACGCAACAAGAUGCAAGUGAACCAAUUAAGUAAUUAAUAUGUAAUUUAUGCAUUUUAUUUGAUCCAGCCUCCCACGUACGUGACACUACAAUGUAUAUAUGUGAACAUUGUUAACAUAACUAAAACUCAAAAACUAGUCCAAGUGUCACUACUGGAAAAAAACACUUAGGAGACGGAAUUGAUUUGUCUCCUAAGUACCAAAAUUGGUCUCCUAAGUACUUAAGAGAUGGAAUAGCCGUCGGCUAAGAUCCGUCGCCUAAGAGUCGUCAAGUAGAAAAGGAGUCAACUAAAAAUUUAGUUUCAUCUACUAAGAGCUAUUUAGGCGACAAAAUGAGUUAUGUCUCCUAAGUUCUUAGGCGACGGAAUAAUGUCCAUCUCUUAAGUUCUUUGGAGACGGAUUUAAAAUAGUUUUAAAAAAAUUAAUUAAAUUAAUUAAAUUUUAUUUCUAUUAUUUUUUUUUAUUUCAGUUUCUUUUUAUUUCUUUGCCUUUCAAUUUUUUUUUUAUUGUCUGAAACCAACCACCCAUUCCACCACCGCCCAAAAUCUCACACCCUUGCCAAUACCGCUACAACCUUCGGCAAACAUCGCUGUCACCUCUAGUUUUUCUAAACCACCCACCGCUACAACCAAGAAGCAAAACCCAGAGCUCCAUCAUACCUUAAUCCAUCAAAUCCAAUCCCGAAAUACAAAUUUCAGUCACCCAAUUUCAAUCACUGUUUAUACAUAUUAUGAGAGGAUGGUGAAGAGAUUGUGAGCGAUGUUGAGUGGUAGUGGAGGAGAGAUCGAAGUCGUUGUCGGUCUGGGCUAGGGAGUAAGGGAGGUCGGCCUUGGAGAAGUGAAUGCUGGUCUAGGCUAGUGGUCUAGAUCUGAAAAAAAAAUGAGUGGGAGAGAAAGAUGGGGAUAAAGAUGGAGAGGUAAGAGCAGACUGAGGGGAAGAUAAAAGAUAAAGAGUGUGAGAAGGAGGAGUAGAAGAAAGAGAGAGUUUAUGAGUUUAAAUAAAUUGGGAACCAAAUUUUCAAAAAAUUUCGUUUGAAAUUUUCUCAAAUUCUCGGCGGAAGAUUUGACGGCCCAAGUUUUUUUAACUUAUAAGUGAUUCAAAUUCAUUACAAAAAAAUUCCGUCUCCUAAGUAAAACAUUUUAUCUUCUAACAUUUCGCCUAAGUUGUUAAUAUUUUUAUUUUUUAUUUUUCAAAAAGUUAUUCCGUCUCCUAAGUAAAUGGUUUCGUCUCUUAAGUAGCACUUAGGAGAGUAAAUGCUUUUCCGUCGUCUAAGUGGUCACUUAGGCUACGGAACGAGCACUUAGGAGAUGGAAUUAAAACCAUUCAAUCUCCUAGGUACUUUUUUCCAGUAUUGUGUUUUAAACACAGGAAGUGAAGACCCGAAGUCGAAGACGAGAUCCUCUUAUUAUGAGCUUUUAAUAAUUGAGGGUUUACAGUUUUCAUUUUAUCUUUGCAUCUUGAAUCGGGUGACUUGCACAUUGGUGGUGCAAGUGUAUCUUGAUGUAUGAAAUCCGCUCCCAGACAUAUAAGUGACAUGAUUACAUGGAGCUAGCCUUUUUUAUAAUAACAAAAAACAAAUGCAUAUGAAAGGUUAUACAUUUGAUGUUGUCCGGUAGUCCAUUCAUAUUAAGUGUGUCGGUACUCUAAUUUUUUUCGUUAUGAAAGUAUUAUCUAACUUAUUAAUAAAAAUAUGUUAAGUUAAGUUGUUGUGUUUCAAUUACUCUAAUCUUUGAGAUUCCGUAAUUGUAAUUUACACGAACAUGUCUGUUUAGACAGAUUUUUUUCAGUUGAUUUAUUUAAUCUAAUUCGGUACCCAUACCAAAUGAUCUUCAAAUUAAAUAAAACUUUACAGAAAUGAUCAGCACACUAUGUUCUAAACAGUAAAGAUGUAAAAAUGUGAUCNNNNNNNNNNNNNNNNNNNNNNNNNNNNNNNNNNNNNNNNNNNNNNNNNNNNNNNNNNNNNNNNNNNNNNNNNNNNNNNNNNNNNNNNNNNNNNNNNNNNNNNNNNNNNNNNNNNNNNNNNNNNNNNNNNNNNNNNNNNNNNNNNNNNNNNNNNNNNNNNNNNNNNNNNNNNNNNNNNNNNNNNNNNNNNNNNNNNNNNNNNNNNNNNNNNNNNNNNNNNNNNNNNNNNNNNNNNNNNNCUCCUCUCUCUCUCUCUCUCUCUCUCUCUCUCUCGGAUUGAAAUAAUGAAGCAUGUAAUAACUACUGUAGCUAGCGCGCAGCAGCAGAAGAACCUCUGAGGGAUUCAGGCAUUCAGCGCUAGCUGCUUCUGAGUUGUGGGCUUGUGGCAGAGAUGUAUAUAGUUGUGGUCUUGUCUUGGCUGGCAGUUGGCACUGACUUCCCCGUGCACUACUAUAAUAUUCAUAUGUAGAAAUAUCAGUUGAUUUAUUCAAAAACAAAAGAAAAAAUAAAAGAAAUUUCAUCUCGAUCUGUGUACGUAUGUAUAUAUAUACGACAUAUAUAUAUGAUUCUGACACGUACAGACACAGCGAAACACUCCUCUUUCUCUCUCGCUCUGUGUAAAGCCCUAGCUAGCUUAGGCUAGUGGUGAUUGUUAUGGGACUCUUCAUUAAAAUGGGGUGGGGAGAUCGAGCUAGACGUCUGAGACAGAGAGGUUGAUCAUCGAUCCCAUCUCUCAUAUCAAAUUAUCAAUAGCAGUGGCAGUGACAUGUCUAAUCCUUAUUUGUUGGUUGGUUAGUUUCGUUUCGAACUAGUCGAUCCUGGCCUCUGAUCACUCUAAUUCUUUUUGCAUGCCUUUCCUUACUCAUCCCUUCAUCUCCGAUGGACUUGUCAUUCAUGAAAUGAUCCAUCGAUCUCUUCAAGCUCUCCCAUGCCAUCACUCUUUCUUUCUUUCUUGUCAUCGAUCUCUCUGUCUCUCGAUCUGCCUUCCUUCCAUAGAAAAAUGAGUGUACGUACGGCACUGUUUUUAACUGCAGUUAACAGCCUGUGACCCCUGGACAAUAAUAUAGCUUUGCUUUUCUCAGCUGCAUGCCGACAAAUAGACAAAACCUCUUCCAUUAGUUUUGCUUUUCUCUUUGUUUGGUCCGGUCCUUUCCAUAUUUCCUUUUGUUGUAUUUUUCAAAUCUGCAGAAGAACCACCACAUAACAUAUUUGACCUAAUUAAUAGUAAGGGUUUUUUUCUAUCUUUUUUUAUAAUGCUAAAAGACUAAUUACAAAAUAGAUCUCUGGAAGCAAUCUGCUCCAAAGAGAUCAAAAUUAACAGCAAGCCCUACGGACAAGAGAAAAUCCGACUCCCAAUAGCUAGGCCUUGAAAGCUGGUGACCAAGAUUUGCUAGCGCGUUGUCAGCGACGUUAGCUUCGCGAAGAACAUGAUAAAAGACUAUACUCUGGAAAGCGGCAAUACUAUUGAUGUUUUGGACAAGUUGCAGCAGCCUCCACGGACACUUAAAGUUUCCCUUGAUACGGUUGAUAACUAAUGCGUAGUCACCUUCCACGAUCAAAUCUUGGAAUUCCAUUUCAUGAGCUUUGAGAAGACUAUCUCUUAGAGCAAUGACUUCUGCAAUGUGAACGUUUGUCUUCCCAAUCUUUUGCGCAUAAACAAUAAUAGGGCACCCAACAUCGUCUCUAAGGAUAAAACCAGCAGUAGCAUCAGAUGUUUGUUGUAACAUCGAACCGUCAAAAUUAAUCUUUAUUCUGCCAUGAGUAGGAGGAUUUCAUUUGAUAUUGGAGCCUACGUACUUGUGUUGUUGAGGCUGAUACUACUACGAUCUCUAGGAAUGCAAUUGUAAGUGGCUGCACAAGCAACAACUGCAUGCGGAGAGAAACCCUUGUUCCUGAAAACAAGAUCAUUACGCUUUUGCCAUAUCUGCCAGCAUAAGGUAAGAAUUUUUCCAAAGUUAUUCGCAUUGAACGGACUAUCUGCCAGCAUAGGAUUUUUUCCUAUCGAAAAAAUGGUAAUUAAGGGUUUCUCAAUUGAUAUUAUUGCUCAUUCAUCAUAUGAGUAAUCAAAGGCCAAAAUGACACUACAAAAUCUCUAGAGAUGGGAAAAUCAUACUAUUACACUUAAGACUCAUAUCAAAGAUUGCUUACGCUAAGCACAUAAUUGAGACUAUAAAAUUGCGAACAACAAAAAAAUAUCUGAAAACAUAUGAAAAUAACUAAAUAACUUAGUUACAUAGUAGAUCUAUGGAAAGUGGAAACCCACCAAGGAAGAGCCUAAACCCACAACUCAACAGACACAAGCAAGAAAAUCGGCCCAGCCACGUCCCUCUGCGCUCACCUUCGUCCCACAACAACCUCUGUUACCGUUCCUAAAACCCGAUCAGUCACCGCCAGCAACUAGAACACCUUUGCACUUGGAAGAUGAAGAGCGAGCCUUUCACCGGCCUGUAGUACUGAACAUCCAACACUUUGGGAGUUCACGAUGAAGUCCACAAUCAAACCAUUCCAUCAAAAUUGAGCACGCACAACAAACCUCCCACAUAGUUUCCACCAAGAAAUAGCACCAAAACGUAACACAUAUUCGGCAACAUACAUCACGUCAACAAUGCUAGAGACCAGACCAGUUGUGAAGGCGCUACCGGAACGGCGAGGAAAUUGAUAAAAACCUACCUCGGCUUUUGGAGAACUCAAGGUGCAGAGCGACUAGAAAAAACUAAGAUAUGUGUAACAAAAUUUUAUAUCAAAUUAACAGUACUUAAUUAGUAUAAUAUAUUGGUGAGACGUGGUCUGUUGGUUAGCUAGCUUAACUGACACCCCAAAAGUCAUUUUCAAUCUCUCUAAAACAUGUAAAGGUGGGUUGGGCUUAAGGAUUCUAAUAAAAAAAUAUUUAAUAAUUUCUACUAAGCUUUUUAUGAACCUAUUUGGUAUAGUUUUGCUUUAAAAAAAAAAAUUGUUUUUAUCUGCAUUUUUAGAUUUUAUAAUGUUUGGUAAAUUAAAAAAAACCAUUUUUUUUUAUUACAGGUCACUAGCUAGGUGCAGAAUGUAGAAGCAACCUCAACGUUUCUUUUGAAAGUUGUUGGCAUUAACACAAAAAAAUAAUAUUUUAUGUCAUAAUAGCACUUUCAAAAGUAAUAUUUAUCAAGUAAUAAUUUUAACAACAAAAAGGUAUAUACCAUUUUUUUCUAACACCUAAAAAGCGUUUCUCUCUCUAGGUUUUCUCGACCUAGGGUUCAGAGUUCUCGGUGGGCAAAGGGAGAGGCGGCGGCAGUCUGAUUCUCGACGUUGACCCUAGGAGUGCAGGUACGAGCGGUUGGUGACGCGUUGUCAAAGCCGAUCGUUCUCUGUCCACGUGGUUCUAAGCGAAGGACGUCAGAGAUCUUGCUCCGGUGGGUCGACAUCUGCUUUGCUAUUUUGGAUUUUCAAAUGUUCAGGUACGACGAUUGGUAAUUUGAUUCCGGAUCAUGACAAGGUUUGAUUAACGACGUCUUGUCAUUGAUUCACUCCAGGGGGAGACAAGUUUUGGUUGCUGGCGGUCUGGGUUGCUAAGGUCGGCAGCUGCUUGGGGUAGGGACUCUCUUGGCGGCGGGAUUCUUGGCUUGUCUGCCUCCGAAUGAACCAAUGACAGCGGCGAGCCAUGAUGCUUCGUGAAAUCGGGCUCUAUGACUGGGCCUGAGUUCAGUUAUUGGGCUUGGUUUUCUUUUUAAUUAUUUUUUGUGAUAUGUCCUAAUGAGUGUUGUCUACUCUAUGAAUCUUUUGUUGACAGCUAGAUCCAUUUGUACCAUAAUUGCGUGCUAGGCAGAGGUAAGAGACUAAAUGCAUAAGGAGCGAGUUGUAAGUACUUAGUUGGGCUUACUAUAUAAUUGAGCGUAUCCGUGAUUUUAUUAGUCUGUUAUUACAUAGGUUAGGUCGAUUUUUCUGUUUCUUGCUUAUGUACGACAUCUAGAUUAUAACUGAUUUGGCUAUCGAUAUAUUUUUAUCAACAAAUCUUGAUUAAAAAAAAGUAAUAUUUACCCAUUUAAUAAAAAAAAUGUACCAAACAUAAAAUUGUCUUUAUUCACAGCUGAUUAUUAUCAUAUUACAAGAGCACUAGUUUUUUUAAAAGUCGCAGCAGUCUCAAGCUUGCCCUAUGACUGGUCUUGACUAUGUCCAAUUGUCCAUAUGAGAGAGAGAGGUGCGUGUGGAACCAAAUUAGUUUCUCAACACAUGGUUCAUGAUUGGAAAAAAGAAAAAAAAAAGAAAAAAAAAGUAGACGAACAAACUUCUAUGAUUAUCAUUUGUGCUGUUAAUGAAAUUUUCAUCUCGAAUAAUAAAACGUGUUGUUGCUUCAAAUUGAUGCCGCACAGAGUCAUCAAAAUUUAAUUUGAGUCUUUAGGUAAGGCUUGUUGAUCUAGUGAGAAAUAGUUCUUGAAGAAUUUGAGUACUCCCAGCAAUUCUCUACACUUUGAUGAGGAUGGGACCGGAAUUAUUUAAUGAUCCAUUGAUUUUCAGACCCUCCAAAUCUGCCAACAAAGUAAGAGAAUCGAACUUUUCCGGUAGCAAUCGUCAAAUCUUGUUCAAUAAUCUGUCAAGCAGUGAAAGUGGAUAGCCAAUCUACAAGUGAUUCAUUGGCAUUGAUUGGUGUUGGGGAAGAAUACACACAGCUCCAGACAGCAUCAGUGAUUGCUUUUGCUACUGCUGUAACAGUUCUAUGAAUUACCUUUUUCUUUUGCAUUGUUUAAUCAGAUCAUACUGUGAUCCCGUUGAUGUAAAACUCCAAGUUAAUUCGCCAAACUCAACUUGCAUCCCUGACCCGAUCACCCUGCUGCUCCCUGGACCCGUAAGUGUCACCAGAAAUGUCUCUUCACCAUUCACCAAAAAAAAAAAAAAAAAAAUAACUCUUCACCCCUAAGCCACCCUUCCCCCCUUAGAUUGAACAACCACACACCAUUUCACUUUUUUCUUUUUUUUGUAUGUACUUCUCAUACCAAAAUACCUUCUCUUUCUGACGCCCGGCCUCUUCCCAUAGAAACCUGCUGAUUAGUUCUUGCAACAAGAAAUCAUAGCUAUGCAGAUAUAUUUUCCAUGAAUUUGGGAUGUAAAGUUGAAAUUAGGAAUAGACAAACUCCUAUUGUUGAUAUUUGUAACAAUGUGAAACAUACAAGUCAUUACAGGGGAAAAAGGAGUGGCUCUGUGUUAUACUCCAAAGAUCAUGACUUGAAGCAUGUAAACACCCUACAACGACAUUCAUCUAAACUAUCAGGACCAUGAGUUCACCCCAGAGACCAAACAUGUAUCAAGGUACGAUAAAUUUAACAUCUAUUGCUAGACAUUAAGCUCCACCUCCCCCCAAAGAAAAAAAACACAAGAUGAAAUUUACAUCUUCAGGAAAAUAUAUUGGCAAAGCUGUCGCUGAUACAUUUCAGACAAUUGCCCAAAACUUCUUCCUACAAAUUAAUACGGUUUCACUGUUCUUCUUUAUGUUGUCCAGCACAUGUGAUUCAACCUCCCACAAAAAUUUUGGAGCAAGAUCCUUGAUCGUUGAUGUAAUAGCAUCCUCAUCUCUAAUGAUAAUAAAUCCCUGUACAUCAACACAAUACCAUUGUGAACUAUAUACAGUACAACUUGGGACAGAAACAAGUUGCACGCGAUAUAUUUUGGCAGGCCAAUAACUAAAAGGAGUCUUAAAUAAAGUAAUCCACCAUUUGCUACAGCACCAAAUGCUAAACAAUAAUUGUCGAGAAAAAAAAAUGCUAAACAAUUUUAAUGGAAGAAAGACAUUAGCAUGAAACUGUUGUGUGAAAACAGCAGUUUCAUUCAACUAUAAAGAAAAUUUGAAUAUGAAUAAACACAUUUGAAUGUAAGGUUUCAAGAAGUAGCUAAACUAAAACAGCAUCUAUGCGACACAGAAUGGCCAGUAUGAUAUUUGAUAGACUCAAAUGGUGUGUCGUAAAGUUAUUUAUGUUGACAUUUGUUUAUCUUUUGGUUUUCCAUGAUAUGGAAUAUUAAUGUAUGAAUAGCAUCCUAGAAUCAUUUCACUAAGGUUCUGCGGCUUAUGUUGAAUGGACUUGCUGAAUGGAAAACAGUUAUUCUUGACUCUUGGUUAUCACUCAUACGUUUCUAUAUAUUCUCUCUAAACCGCUGAUUUUCCUUCUCUUCUAAAUCCCAAGAUUCUACAUUCUGUCAAUCCGCUUGGUGUUACACUGAAAAGGACAAUGACUAGUAUAUUCAAGAACAAAUAUUCAGAAGAAACACUUCCCUAUAUUGUGAUCCAGUAAGCAUAAUGGUAAAGAAAUAGUUGGUCAUGAGUACGUAAAACUAAAAUCAUAGUGUGACAAAUGAAAUGAAAAGACUAGAAAGAGAAAGAGACCAACACAUCCUCAUAAAAGGAGAUAAACAUAAUAAGAUGGAUAGUAGGAUUGUACAAAACCAGCCUUUCUCAAGUGCGGACGUCCGCACCAAAGUUUUGGUGCGGAUUUCCAUUUUUGCAUCACUUCCCGAUCGAAUUUCCUCAAACUUCCUUCUAGACACAUCUAGAUCAUCUUGUGUCGAUCAUCUCUGCAAAAUUUCAGCCAAUUUGGUGAUGGUUAAGGCCCUCAAAAUCGAAANNNNNNNNNNNNNNNNNNNNUCUUGUAAUUCACCUUUAUAAUAGAAUGAGAGAGUUCCUCGUGAGCCUUGUUAUUUGACAUUGUAAACGUUGGUUACCCUAGAGGUUUCUUAUGCAAUUUCUUUUUUCUUUUAUAAAAUAAAACAUGUUUUAUUUGUCGUGUCAGAAAAUUGUCGAUAAACAAAAUAUAUAUAUAUAUAUUUAUAGAUAUACAGGAAUUCUCAGGUGCGGAUGUCCGCACCUAAGUUUUCGUGCUGAUUUCCAUUUUUGCACCACUUUCUGAUCGAAUUUUCUCAAACUUCCUUCUAGACAUAUCUAGAUCAUCUUGUGUAGAUCAUCUCUGCAAAAUUUCAGCCAAUUUGGUGAUUGUUAAGGCCCUCAAAAUCGAAAAACAAAUCUGAUGGACUGAAUUCUGUACGGUUCAUCAUCUCCAUUUGUUUUUCGAUUUUGAGGGCCUUAACGAUCACCAAAUUGGCUGAAAUUUUGCAGAGAUGAUCCACAAGAUGAUCUAGAUAUGUCUAGAAGGAAGUUUGAGGAAAUUCGAUCGGAAAGUGAUGCAAAAAUGGAAAUCCGCACCGAAACCUUCGGUGCGGACGUCCGCAGCCGAGAAGGCCUGUGUACAAAACUGCCAGAAUAUAAAAUCUAUGCACUGAACAUGGAGAAUAAUACCUAUUCACGUUAGGAUCUACGAAUAAUACUAACUGCUAAACAUACUGAUAACAAAAGAUCCAUGGUAGAGUACAAUUUAACAAUUACUACGCUGCACAAGAAUAAUACCAGGGUAGCCCCCCGGAUGAAUAAAUUAGGGUAGUUCAAACUGGCUCAGUUCAAUCCCUAGUAGUGUCAGGUUACUUGGAUUGAAUUACAUCAAUGUCCAAGGCAUCCUUACUUAGGGUUCUAGGUUUUCUAGGUCUCUAGGCAGGGUAGCACCCUUUAUGGGUGAGUUACUGUGUAUUGUAUGCCUCUCUCUACUUACUUAAUGGAUUGACACCCUUUUGUUAAAAAAAGGAAUAAUAUUAUGUCCAAUAACACAAAAGCAAAGAAAGUAAAUUAAAAAAGAUAAUUGGCUGAUGAGAAGUACGUUCAACUUAUAGUCAAUGGGACUAAAGCAAGGAAAAGGUUGGUAAACUAUUGAUGCAACUUGGAAUGAAAAGUAUGCAGAAGGUAAUUAAUUUCCCAACCUCAGCAUGACUAGAGAGAAUGUUUUCCCUACUCUUGUAAGAUAUAACAUAAAUUUAUGUCUUUGAUACUCGAACACGAACAGUUAACACUAAUAAAAAAUGUUACCUGCGGUCUUAUCAUCCUGUCCAUUUCCAACAGGAUAUCCUCCAACAAGCAGCCUUCUCCACAUUCCUUAUAAUGAGAGAAGAGGAAGUUGGCAUGCAAUAGAUCAUAUGUGCGUGGAUAAGUAGAAAAUGGUUCACACCUGAAAUUAGAUAGGGAUGAGAUGUCACAUACUAAAUUUGGGGAUUCUCUCUGUAUUUAUUUUCUUUUAUUCAUAAUUUGAACCAACAAAUUUGAUACUCAGAUUCUAGAAUCAAGACGUCACAGACAAAGAACAUACCAAUCAUGGAAAGCACCAAUCAGACCACGGUCAUAAAUGGCAGACAAUGUAUUCUUCAUGGUUGCAGGAACUAUAUUCAUCACCCACAUCGGUGAUGAAUCUAAGGCCACAGCAAAUCCACCACAAAAAGCAUUCAUGUCCAUGACAUUUCGUAUUUCUGUCUUGUUCACAUUCAGCAGCCACCAGUAAUGCUGAACUUGAUCUUGCCAAAAGACAGUCUCCGAAGUAAAUUCCUCUUGACUAAUACCUAUUAUGAACACAAUAAUGAGGAACUUGUUCAGACUGAAAAAUAUUUAUUUUUCAAGUUCAUAAACAAACAAAGAAAGUAAAGCGCUCUCCAGUAUUCCAAGUUCUCCAGCCCUUAUAUUAACAUCAUGAAAUAAAGCUGCUCAAAAUUUGGUUUAAUUUUGGACAAGAGGUUUCCACAGCAGGAUCAAGUGAAUAGAACUUGCAGGCUACAUAGUAUAACUCUAUAAUUUUACUCUGCAAGCUCAACCUUUUUCUCUAGAUCCCUCCAUAACCUUUUUCUCUAGAUCCCUCCAUAACCUUCAAUGUGUUGGAAGCUCAACAUUUUCAGAAAAGAAACUUGACAGAAUAAAGGAAAUAAAGUAAAUUUAUCCAUAGUCAAGUACUAUUUGUCUAGAGAUCAAGAAUCUAAGUACAACAAAAUAUAGCUAAGUAGAAGAAAAUUUUAGGUACUUAUAUGGAUAUAAGAUUGACCUGGGCCUGGAGAUAACUCUUAAUGUGUGUACUAACCUCAUAUAACGAGGGAAUAUGCAUCAUCAAAACCAAAACUUGUCAUUCUUAACUUUAAUUUGGUGUUAUAUGCAUGAAGUUGCCUCAUGUCAACUUGGGAAGUACUAAAGACAAUAGAUAGGAAAAGUAAAUAAAAGAGAAUCGAAAAGGAGAAGCAGCGAACCAAUUUUUUUAAGACUCUCCGAGUAUAUUGAUAGACGAUCUGGUUUAGAAGGGAGUUUUGGAGCAUUUGUUUGCAUGCCCCUUACUUGUAUACAAUUUCCCAGUUUUGUAUUCCAGAAUGACUUAGAAUCAUCAGCAGCAUCACAUAUAUCUAUAAGCUUCUGUUCAGAAAUGCGCUGAAGGCAUGCUGGAUCUUCUUGUUUCAUCCAAAUAGCAGUCUGAACUCUUUUAGCAAUGAGUUUCCAACACAUUGCCGAAGUCAGAUUCACUAACUUCUCCCAAAUUAUUGGAAAGUCUUUAUCCUUUCUAUAAGCAGGUGGUGCUGAAUAGACGAAGUACCCAUUAGAACGCAGAAGGCGAUCCACUUCUUUUAGAAGAAUACCAUCUGCACAAAAAAGAUAUAAGGAAAGGAAAACACAGCAUAAGACCACUCAUUACAAAUAUAGUAAAUUAGUGAUGAGACUGAACACACUGCAAGAUCUAUGAACAGUAAUGUUAAAGGUAUUCUCACCAAAUCUAAUAUUGCUUAGUUAUACCUCAUAUCCCAGCACAAAAAUUAUCAUCAUUUAUUCUUUUUAUAGCAUGCCAAGCAAAUAAGUCCAGAUAUAUUGCUACAACUAACAUGAACAAUGCUAGUUCCAUUUGUCAAACUUGAACAUAAGAAUUCGGUAUGGAAAUCUUUAGAUACUGUUCAUAUGAUCUUUCAUUCUUUUGUUAUCAACACAUAUCAUCUCGUGGAGAAGUUGAAGUCUUAGCGUAUUUUUACAUUUAGACUUCUUUUUCCUUUUCAAAUAUAUUUGUGUAUGGAUACCAUGUAGAUCACCAAUAGUCCAAUACAUAUGAAGUAUAUAAAAGACAGUUACCAUUUUCAUGCCAAUCAACACGACACCUAGAACAAUGAACCAUCUCAAACGAGCUACUGGGAUAUGGCAACUGCUUUGUUGCUAUUGCCGAGAUCAUUGCACCAAUGCCACGCUCUAGAGAAAACUGAAUUUGAUUCUCAUGUCCAUCCUUGGGAGCAAAGGACAUGGUCUGUACACCCAAGGGAAGAAGGAAAGCAGAAAAGCUGGAAACCCCACAACCAACAUCCAAAACUUGAACAACCCCUGCAGUACGCAGAUCACCUGAAUCAUUGGUUAUCAUAUUUCCCAAUCUGCAAACGCCAGAACAAUCUAUUAAAGUAACUGAAAUCAAGAUCCAGACAUUGAAAUUGAAAUUGAAUUUCAUCUUAAUUAGUCUAUCAGUGGAGAUUAUAUGACCAAUCAUGUAUCACAUUUAUUAUUCUCCCUCCCAAAACUUGCAUUAUAUUAGGAACCCUUUUCACAAUAUGAUGAAUCAGAUCUUCAAUUAAUGCUGCCCCCAAUUUGUAUAGGGUGAUUGUCAACUUAGGUCCUGAAUUGGAAUCAACAUAACCACAUGACAGGUUAUAUAACUAAAAUGUCAUAUGCACUAAAACCAACAGGUCAAGUUUGUAAACAAAUUGAAUGCAGAUACCUCUGAAUGUAUUCAGGUGCACCAUGUUUAAAAUGGGUACCACCACCGGGGAACCACCAGAGUUGAUCCUUCUCAUGAACCCAAUUCUGUCCUCCUUUGACUUCAGCAAGAUGAGUAUGGUUCACAUUGCUUCGCCACACAUAGUCCCUGCUGAUUGGCCAUCUUAUAGGAAUCUUAUAAUCUCUGGGUGGAGGAACCAAGCAAAACAAGCGCUGUUGAACUGGAGGGCAGUGUCUCUCUAGUUCUUCUCUUCUACUAGUGUCCAAACUGGGGAGCAAAGUUUGUAUGUAUGAUACAUUAUGGCAAGGGAUAUAUUCAUUGAAACUCGAGGGACAAACAUCCACACCAGUCUCUGGUAUCACGAGUGGUGUUCUUCUAUAUGUUAAUUCGACUUUGUUCGCAAACGAGGAAGUACCUGCAGCACCAGAAUGAGAGCCCAAUAAAACUCAGAUUUCUUCAACAAGCCUUAUAUUGAAUCUUGGAGCUUACCAGGAAAUGAGAAAUUGUUGCUGAGCUGCGAGAAGUAAUUGGGAGCAUUUUGGCGAAAGAGAGUUCCAGCAUAGAAGGACCCAAGCAUUAAUAGGAGAGCUAAGGUUAUCAUCUGCCAUGACUCUAAUUUAAAAGCUGAACCUCCUCCCAUUUCCUCAAUUACCCAAUUGGGUUGAUUUACGGAGGAAUCGAAAUGUGCUUUUGGGGAGUGUGAUCUGAGGGUUCUAGGAUGAACAAGGAUUUGAUUCAGAUCGACAUUGUCGCCGAAUCCAGUGCUGAGCUCUGGUUCAGUUUUACUUCACACGAUAUGUGCACGUGCCCCCUCCGAUGACGUUUCUAGAGCAGUUGUAUAGUUAAUUUAUAAUUUAACUAUCUCUACUACUAUAAAGGAGGGAAGCCCUUCAAAGUUUCACCAAAUUAUGUUCUUCUUAAAUUAUCUUUAUUGUGUUUAAUUAAAACAAUUAAGUAAACUAAACAUUGUAGUAAAAAGUAAAAAAAUAAAAUAUCAAAAAUAGAGUAGAUAAUUGUGAAAAUUAGGAAGUUAAAAGUUUUAACUGCAAACAAGAAACUCCCCUGCAACAUUAAACUCCCCACUAACUUCACAAAAAGAAAAAACAGCUACAAAUGAGAAAAAUAACUACCUACUAACUAUAACUUCUAUACGCGAGUUUCGCGUGUAUAAAGGCUAGUAGUUAGAAAAUUUAGCUAUUUAUAUAACAAUUUAGCUAUAGUAAUAGUUAUUUAUCAAUUCUGCUUAAUAUUUUUUUGGAAUUAGCAAUCUUUUAGGCAUAUUAUUAGAGCUCUGUUGUAGAGAGAAUAGAUAAUCAUCAUCUUAUUCAUAUGAUAUGAGUCUUUUAUAUAGGGAUUACAUAACACAUUUAGGCGUUGUACAAGGAAACAUAACUUUGAUAUCUUAUUUCUAUACGGAAUCAGGAUUCCUUGUUUAACUAACAUUAGAACAAGGCACACACAUGUGCAAUAUUUCUACAACACUCCUCCUUGUGCCGCGUGUCUACAUGUCGAAUGGUGCAUACGGUGUUGCCUCGUUAAAACUUACCAAGUAACAAAAACCAUGUGGGAAAAACUAAAUCUUGGUCAAAGGAUGAAAGAGUAUAACGCAUCAACUACUUCAUUGAGAACUCGAUCAUGUGAUGCUCCCCCUGAUAAGUAUCUUAAUCGAAGAGACUUGAUAAACGUCGCAUUCCAAUGUUUUUCACAUGUUUCUCAAAAGUAUGUCAUGUGUAAUGAUUAACCUUAACCAAACAUGUUCAUGAAUAACUUCAUGUUGAUCAAUGAUCUAUGCAAGAGACAAGCGGUGUAUGUGAUGUUGCCUCAUUAAAAACCUUGUCAAACAAAAACCCAGUAGGACAAAAGUUUUGGUCUAAAGGAAAAAGAGCACAACAGGGUUGAUACGACACAACCGUACCCCACAUUUGAUAAUGACAUGUAUGUGCUAGACUCCCCCUGAAGUCUGCAUCUCUCUCUUAUUCUUAUAUCAAUCAUAAGGCGCAUCCUGAUUCUUAUCACGGAAGUAUCAAUAACUUAGCAUAUCAAUGCUCUUUAACAUGUCUUAAUGUGGAAUUAGAUAAUGAUUAACUAAAUCAUGUCGUAUGGACCUCAAUUCUGAUCUUUCACACAUUGAUCUUGAGGAGAAAGCUGCUUGAGAACUUAAAACACAAGUUCGUGCAGAAAAUCAGAUUCUCGAGCAGCAUGACCUUCGGGGACUAAAACAGCCAUAACUUCCUAUAGAAAAUAGAUAUCGACGAACCGUAAGAAGAUAUGGAAAGUAGAUUCACGUAGCGUUCCAACCAUAGGUAAUACACAGUUUCGUUCAUCCGGAGCUAUUCACAAAGCUCUGUCGAUUUUGGCUGAUCAAAAAAGGGCAGAUUUUCUGAUUCCGCUUUUGAUGCAUCUUUACUCAUGCAUAGUUAGUGAUGGCGUAGAUAGCGUGCAUUCUAUCAUGCCAUAUUCUAUGUAGGGAUUGAAUAAGCCCAAAUACAUUUAUGUAUUGAAAGGAUGUCCUUAUGCCAUUCCAUUGGCGUUGCGUGGGCGCAGAGUUACACUUAGCUUUACAACUUUUCAUAACGAAUGAGAGGUCAAGUCUUUCUUUGUCAUCUUCCAUUAGACGAAAACAUAUCUCUCUUUAGAGUAAAGACUUUGACUAAUCAUAGGAGUAUAUGUAGACCUCACUCUCAUUAGAGUAUCUAAACCGAUUGAUGGAAAAACAUCAUCAAUACCGUCCUCGAGUACCUUUUCGAGACCAUGUCUUCCCAAGAUCUUUUCAUUCUUAACUUCGGAUGUUUGAUUCAUAUUGGCAUCUCUUGUCCAUCAAGAGUCCAUGUAAAUCCGAAAAAAUCAACACGCAAGGGCACUAUUCAUCAUAUCCCUUCCCAAUCAAGUAGUUACUUAGUGUGUGUUCCAACCUCUCUUGCAAACGCACGCUCCUGUGGUCUGGAGCCACUUGAUUUGGGUGGAUGAAGUCUCUUCAAGACCUUCAUGUAUAUCUCUUAUCCCAUAGAGAUGUGUUUACAACCACAUUCAUAAGCUGCAUGUCCAGUUAUUCGGAAAAUACCAAACUGACAAAGUAGUGGAGUGCAAUGACAUCCAUUACGAGAGCAUAUCUCAUCGUAGUCAAUCCCAGUGCGUGUUAGUGAGAUACCUUGCGUCAUGAGGUGAGUCUAAGCUCUUGUUCUCAUUACGCUAUCUAAUGAAGACAUAUUUCACAUGGUUUAUACUUACGGUGUCAGCAUCACCCCCAAGGACCUAUCUCUUUGUUAUGCUAGAUUGCAUAUUUUCGUUAGGCCAAUCUACUACGUCGAUUUAUUAAUGAAGUGUGGUUCGAUCAAGGAGGAAAAUUUUGAUGGUUACGGAAAUUUCGACGGAAAUUUUGGGGAAAUAUCGAUUGCAGUUAAAAAAUGAGAAACUUGAUGGAAAUCUAAAGAAAAACAAGGAAAUUUUAAAUGAAACCUUGAGAGAUGUUUAUUUUCUAUAUUAUCUACUAUAUUUGAAAAGAUAACCUUGAAUAAACAUUAAUCUAUAGGGAAUUGUAGUAAUUUAAGGGGAAAAAGUAAUCACUGAAUCGUUGAUAAUUCUUAAAAAUUUACUUUAAACAUUUUUUUAUGGCUGGAAACCCAAACGAAGGCUAGGUCAUCACGCCAUACAUUUCACAUGGAAUUACAUAAGUAAUUUAAAAUCACAUAAAAGACCUAUGAGGUAUAAAAUUUUCACUAUCGUCAUCGUCUCUCUGUAUAUAUCCUUUAGUGUAUUGUGAAGAAUAAUCAUUAAAUGAUACCUCACGAAGAGAAUAAUGAAAAAUGGAAGUAGCAGAUCAUGAAAUGGAUUAGAAAGGAUUAAAUUGAUGUAGGAAUUUUUUUUGAAAUGUAAUUAUGGAAAAUUUGACUUGUUGAUAAUUAUAAAUAGGAAUUAAGAAGUGUAGGUGAAAAAUACUUAUAAGUUAAUUGUAAACUAGAUAUUUACAUAAUUUUAUAUAUUUCAGAUUCGUAAAAAAGGAAAUAUAUAUCAUCAAGAUGCAAUAAUGAAUAACUUGGAUGCUUAGCAAAGUUGGUUAUGGCAUUGAAAUUGUAUCAACCCAACCAGGGUUCGAGACAUCUUAGGAGCAAAAUUUGGUUUUGGUUUGAAUUUUAGUUUGGAGACAAGGGGACAAAGGGACAAGUUGGCCACGUGGGGUGCAGAGAAUGGAGACAAGGGGACAAGUUAAACAAUACAAAUUAGCCACGUGGGGUGCGGCCCAUGAGUUAGUGGCACUUUCCGGAAUAUUUCAAAAAUAUCGGUGAGAAAUUGAAUAUUUUGUCGAAAUAUUGACAUUUUCGAAUGAGAAUGCUUUGAAAGGCGAAAUAUCGCUGAAAAAAUCGAUUUUUUCUUCUUUGGGUUCAAUAGUAAACUCAUUAUUCCCCGUCCUCAUGUCACUAGUGUAAUACUAUUAGAUAUCUUAAUAUGGAUUGGAUUUGACAUUGAAGUGUCCCCUAAUGAUAAUCAUAAUUCAAACUACAUGAAACAAAUUUGAGUAUCACCGUUCUACGUAUUUGAGGAGAGGAAGGAUUUGAAAUACAAUAGAUAAGGUGUUUUUUAUUAAUUCAGACAUCACAUUCUUUUUGUGUUUUUUUUUUUCAUUUCUUUAUCCAAUCAUGUAUUUUUCUCCCAUUACUUACCCUCUCUCUCCUCAUUCUAUUUUAGAUGGAGUACUAGUUCAAAUAGUUUAAUAUUUAUAUUUGGCAAUCGAUUAGAAUCUGUAAUACCCCGAUAAUUUUUAAAGUAAAUGAAUAUAUAUAUAUAUAUAUAUAUUAUUGAUGUUGAGAUGUGAGUCGAAAUUAAAAUACCGUGGUAAUACGAAUUAGAUGUUUUGAAAUAUGUUUUUGAUACUUUUUUAUGUGCCUCAGAAUAUGUGUAUAAUGAGUAGUAUAUGCACAUAUACCCUCUCAAUUAUAGUAAAGUGAAUAAGUAAGAAUAUAAUAUUAUUUGAGAUAUAGUGAAGAUGGUGGUUUGAUAUUGUUUAGUAAAUUUCAAGGCUUAUGGAAAAUGAUAGCAUGAUUUUAUUUGAGAUUUAGUGGAGUUAUAGAGAAUUAAGGAGUUGGAGAAGGAUGGUCGUAGGACUAUUCUGUGUUGUUUGGAAUGAAGAACGGUAGUAUUUUUCUAUUUAUUUUAGUUACCAUAGUUGUAAUUGAGUUGAUUGGAGAGCUUGAAUACCAGAAAAUGGAAUCUCUUAGCAUAGUUUUGGCUCUUUGAAAUAUUGGGGUUAAUUAUAGAUUUUGAACUUAAUCUGAAGUUCAUUGUUGACAGUGUAGUUGAUGAGUUAUUUGGACUCAUUCAUGUUUUCAAUUUUGUAUUGAAAUUUAUAUAGGUCAAUAGAUUAAGGUUAUUAUGUUUGAAAUAGGCUUGGUUAUUUUCAAAUUGUGUUUGAAGAGCGAUAGAUUUGAAAAUGUCAGCAAGAAUCAAGUUAAGAAAAAUAUAGGGUAUAGUUUAUUCAUUUUUGGGUUAGGGUGUUACAUAUUUCGUUUAUUUCGAAUUAGACUUUCUUUUUCUUUCUUCAUUGUCAUUACAAUUAAUUUUAGAUGUCAUUUAGGUUUUUUGUGCUUUUUUCUGGUUGUUUGGGUUUUUAUUUUUUUCGUUUUGUAGUUAUUUUUGGCUAGUGAAUAAUAGGAUUGGAUUCAACAAUUGUUGGUACUUGGUUUGUCUGCUUUGCAAAUCAUUGUGCCUGACAUUUAUAAUAUAGUGUAAUCAUUCUCUAGCUUGACAAAGUGACAUUGUAUUUCAAUAAAUGGAGUCUGACUUCGUUUCCCUCAACAGAAAAAAAAAAAAGUUUUAGAUGUUGCUAGAUAUAUUAAGAAUUUUGAUGGGUUAAAAUACCCUUGUAAGAAUUCCUUCUCCUUUAAUUUGGGUAUGCGCAUGUCACCAAGAGUACACUCACUAUCUAUGUACUCUAAAUUUUUGUAGAGUAUUAAAGUUUUAAAUGCAUAUUUUUUCUUUAAGGGAAAUGCACAUUUUUUUAAGGGAAUAUUUAAAUAUUGAAUCAUUCAUAUAACGAUUUAGAUUAUGAUUGUUGUUGACAACACUAUUAGAGCAUCUCUAACAGCUCAUGUAAAACUAGAAUUAUUUAUAUUAUAUUGCUUAUGCAUCUAACGCUCUUUCCUGCCUAAAACUAGAGGUGGAUUUGGUACAGUUAUCGGCUUUUUUUUACUAGUACCGUGUACAAACCAACUUAUGAUUGGUAGACAAAAUUUGCUACCAAUACCAGCCGCCGAAGUCGGUAUACCGACUUCUCGGUACUGGCUAGUACUGGUUGGUAACGGGCCUCUAUCAAUAUAUUAAUCUGGGCCAAAAUAGUUCAAGGCCCAAUCCAAUUACAUAACCCUUCACCCUCUCAGACUCGGACCCUCCACGGCUUCCACCACCAAUUCCUCGUUGAACUUCCCACUAACCAAUUCCACCACUAAGGAAUUAGCAUCUAAAAGACAAAAACACAUGCAAAAUUCAAUAUACUAAACAAAAUCAUAUCAAAUAUCAAAACAAAGUGUAAACAGAACAAUAUGUAAUUCCACUAUGCUCAUGUGUUCACCUGUUACAGAAGUAACCUAGAUAAACCAUCACUUUUUGUCACACUGCAAAUAAAUUCACUAUCUUUUCACUGUUCCUUACAUCCUAAUUCCCAACAACCAGAUAAUUAGACUUUUUCCAUAAUUGUAUUCCUUUGAACUAAUCAACUCGACUCUAGGCUCACACGAAAUUCAAUCAGCUCAAUUAAGAUCUAAAGAGCGAGAGGUGUUUAGUACCCAUGACAGAAAUCUUGAGCAUUUUCAUGGACAUGAUUAGGGCUGGGCACGAGCCCAGACCGGCAGACUAUUUACUAGGACCGGGACCAGAUUGAGCGUACCAGAACCGGGCCGAGAUUUGUUGUUAUCAGAUGAGGGACCAACCAAAACCAGAACCGUCACAAGCCGGGCCUACAGUGUGACUGAAAAUCUGCUGCAUAAGUGCAUAAACUGCUACAUAAUCUGAACAAAAGCUUACAUACAUCCUUAUUAAAGUACAACACAAAACAAAACCUGCUACAUAAGUGCAUAAACUGUAAUCUUAUCUCUCACAAUUGCAAAAAAUCAACUUGUAAAUGAAAGGUAAAAUGAAAUUAUGCAAGGCAGUUGUGAGUUGUUAGAACUCAUAAGUCAUAACUGAAAACUCAUAACAACUUAACAAGUUUAUAUAGCAUAAAUGCAAAUGCCUUAAUGCCUUACAGUCCAAAAAUCCAAAUUCUAAAAUGCCAACAAAGCAGCUCCAUCUCCAUGACUGAACAGCAAGUAAUGAUGCAGCUCCAUGACUUCAAGUCUUCAACUUUUCAAUGAUAUGGGUUGUUGUGCACUUCACUUUUUACCUAUAAGACAAAAUGGGAAUAUUAGUGUAUAACACAUUAACAAUGUAACAUUAAUAACAUUGAAAACCUGGACAACUUCAAACCAUGACUUCAUGAACCAUGAAGCAUUAAAAAUUUAAAAUUAUACCUUUCGAUUUCUUCGAUGCAAGAACCAUCUGUUUAAGUUUUGCAGGCUGGGACUUGGCUUGGACAUCAGCAGCAGCUGGAACAUUUUUUUUUUAUAAUGUUGCAAUUGGAGUAGAAGGACCUGCUGUGUCACUUUUUUAGCAACUUUUGCUGCUUUCUUCAACUUGUUGGGCUGUGAGGUCCUGAGGGACCUGUUGCCGCCACAACCACAACUUCAUCUUCACUUUCUGUUUCUGAUACAGCCACAAGCUUUCCUUUUCCCUUUCCCUUUCCUUUUCCCUUUGCCUUCUUUUCCUUUGCCUUUCGCUUUGCAUCAUCUAAAACAAAGUUCGAAAGAAUGAAACAAAUCAAGUCCAAUUUAUAAUAUUAAUAAAAUUUUCAAGAAUGCAAUGAUGCAAACAUAUCUCUUUCCAUCUUUUCAUAAAAUUCAAUCUUUUCUUGGCUUGGAUAAUACUCAAUUUCGGACUGAUCUUUUUUCUUUAUCCAAUUUUGCACGCAAAUCAAUGCUUCCAUUGUUUUAGGAAUUAAAGAACUCCUAAAAGGGUCAAUCAAUCUAUGUCACGCCCCAAUUAUUGAAGGAUAAUUUUUCAAAAAUUUGAACAUGAUAUAACUCAAAAAUCUUAAUAUCCCAUACCUGGUCAAUGAUCUUCAAAGAAAACCAAAACUCAAAAGCAGAAAUGUAAUAUCAACAAACUCAUCAACCGAGUUAAACAUUAUAUCUCCUUAAUUACAUCAACUUCAAAAGUCUAGUAAUAAUAAAGUCGCUCACAUGAGCUUAAAAACAAACCGCCAUAAUAUAAUAAAAUAAAGUGCACAGAAACUAAAAUCCUGCCACUAUGCCUCCGCCUCAAGCUUGCUGAUCAUCACCUGCAGGUCUAACCCCUACACCAUGAAUUGGUGCACCGGGUUGUAAACAACAAAACCCGUAAGCUAAAAAGCCCGUAUGAACUCCCAAAAAUAACUCAACCCAACAUUACACAAGAUAAAACUUGUAAUUUCUGCUUUAAAACUUAGUUAAGGAAUCGCCUCAAAACAAUAAAAUUCAAAAGAGAAUAAAUAAUAAAACACCACAAUUCACAAACAAUCAAAAUCAUAAGUGAAAUCCUGCAAAAAUGAUAGUUCAGGAAUUCCACUAAAAAUCACACAAAUAAGAUUAAAGAAUCUCCUACAUUAAGCAUAGUUCAAGAGAUACUCAAAACAAGGAAGUUAAAUGACAACAAUUAAGAAUAAAGUUAAAAUCACAUAACCAAUACUUUACAAAAUACAUGUACCCAUGAGUCCUAGAUACCAAUAAGGUAUCUCCCAUGACCUACAACAAACACAUGUACCCAUGAGUCACAGAUAUUAAUAAAUACCUCUCAUGACCUACAACAACAAUUUAUAUACCCAUGAGUCCCAGAUACAUUCAGGUACCUCCCAUGACCUACACGGACAGAAGGACUAGAGCUCUAUUCCUAACCUUAACCAAUCACCCGGCCAAAGGCUUGGAACUCAGUUUAACUGUUCAAUAUCAAAUCACAAAAUAAUAAUAGCAUCAUAACCGUAACCCAUCACCCGAUUAAAGGCUUGAAACCCGGUUUGACUAUUUAAUAUCAAAUCAAAAAAUAGUAGAAUCAUCAUAACCGUAACCAAUCACCCGAUUAAAGGCUUGGAACCCGGUUUGACUAUCUAAACCACAAAUCACAAUAUAAUAAAAUCAUCAUCAAUCAACACAAAGAGCACAUCAUAAAAAUUAUAUCCUUCCAUAUAGAUAUAUUUAUACGAACAAACAUAGUUAUUCCCUCAAGAAUAAUCUAUCAAUAGCCAAAACAUUAUGAUCACAUGAACCUUAAAAAUAAUCAUAUAAUAAGAAAACUUGUUUUAACUUACCUAUGAGCCGUUGGCGAUCAAGCUCAUAUAUUUUAAAUAAACAAAAACAUAAUUUUUAAAAUUAUAAUCAUCAUCAAAAUCAUUAUCAUCAUCACAACCAUCAUCAUAAUCAUCAUCAUAAUCAUUAUCAUCAUCACAACCAUCAUCAUAAUCAUCAUCAUAAUUAUCAUAAAUAAUUGGUCCAAAGUGGACAUUUGUGAGAUGUUACUCACCUUUAUAUUCCCACUGCGUCUUCACCAAAAACACAAGGAACAAACUCACUCACAAUUCCACAAGCUACCUAAUUAGCACAAAAUAUAACCUUAUUAUCCACUUAAUAAGAAACAAAGUACCCUUAACCAACCCUUAACCUAAAGGUUGCCCAAAGGAGGGCAAUCCUUCCUCCGAGACCUCCCAAGGUCGUCGGACACUUAACAACCUAUCCAAGCUGCCUCCAAGUUCAACUUCCAAAGUUUACAACUUAACAAACCUCAAUGAUUAACAUAACACCUAAACUAUCAAAUCAACACUUAACCUUAUCACACAACAACACUCACAACUACAACAACUAGUUAACACAGCCACCCAAAUUCACUCACACUGCUCGGACGUGCUUCCACGCGGCGGCGAGAAGGCCCCACGCGCCACCCCAUCAACUUCAAAAUCUGAGCAAACUCCCAACAGCAAACUUGUAGGUCACAUCAAAUGAAACACUUUUCAUACCUGUGGCCAAAGCCAAUUCGGCCGAAAAGAGGCCGAAAAUGUCGCCGAAAAGAAACAAGGAGCAUUUCGAACUCCAAAGCUCCACGCUUUGAAUUAGGAUUCAAGGCUGGUAUCAUCGUGCUCAGAAGGACAAGAACUUCUAGAAAUGGGUAGCCUCAAACCUCGAUGUCGCCGGAAUCAGUUGGAGCUUUACCGUCGCCGGCACCAGUAACUUGCGGGCCUUGCUGCGCCGUGCACAGUACUCCAUAGGGUGUGAGGCUGGUAUGAAUAGAAAGAGGGGAGUGAGAGCUUUCCAACGAUACCAAACAAGCCCAAAUCCGUCACCGGAUGGCCGAGUUAUGGCCGGAAGAAAUUUGAGGGUGAAAAUGGAGACGGGAGAGAGAGAGAGAGAGAGAGAGAGAGAGAGAGAGAGAGAGCGCUAGGGACCGGGGGGGGGGGGUUUAUUAGGGUUCCAAAAAUAAAAACCCCAAACUUUUCCUAUUAUACUAAUAAUCCCGAAAACCACAAGACUUCCGCUGGCCAAAACUUCUUCCUACGAAGUCCGUUUUACGCGUGAUGCAUGUCUAAGAACUCGUAUCACCAAGCUCUACAACUUCCGUGAAGGAAGUUUCUCGAGAAACCCAACGAAUAAAAAGUCAACUCUAUGACCCUUAAAGAAACAAAAAGAACCCUUUUUGGGAAAUUUACGCGUCCGAACACUUCCGCUCUUUCUUCGAACCUUAAAAACACACUAACUUCUAACUCGAAAACUCCCAAAUAAUAUUAGAAACUAAUAUCAAAUUUCCGAGGUAUUACACUCUACCUCUAGUAUAGAAGGAGGACUCGGAUGCAACGGUGCUAACCUGGAUAGCAAGUACAUCCUUUGCCACAAGAGCAAGGUUUGGAUACUUGCAGCCAUUUGUCUUCCACCAACUUAGUAGACACCAACUAUCUGCUUCUCGUUUUGGUGGAACCUCGAUUGGAUCAAGUAGGUAUCUAUCAACUUCACUCUCAACAACAACUUCGUCGGAUUCAGCUAAAGCUUUUUGCCACCCUACAAUAAAAAGAGAAUACAUCACACAGUAAGUUUUAACAUUGAAAGUAGCAUAUAAAGUUAUAAACAUAAAUAGAAAGUAGGUACUACCUUCCAACAAGUUAGCCAUUUUCCCUGUCAUCUUCACAUUCUUGGACUUCUUCGACUUGAAAGAUGAUGAGGUUGUUGUUUUUGUGCUGCCGGAAACGACACUUGCUGCAGUGCUGCACUUAAAAGAUGCGUUGCCAUUGGUUGAUGCAUUGGAUGAUGUUCUAUAGAUGUCAGUUAAGGAUACCAAGAGCUCCUUAACAGAGUUGGCCUUGGCUUUUGCUUCCUCAGCUGAAUAUUGGAGCACUUGUAGGUAAGUAUGAGUUAUGUUCUUCAGCUUGAACCUAGAAUCCAAUAUUAAUGCAACCAACAGAAACUAAUUCAUGUCUUCAAUACAUCCAAAAUAUUUUCUAAACUUGGCAAACAUAUUUUUUGCCAUCUUCAACAUUAGCAAUUGAACUUCAGUAUUAGUUUCAGCCACAUGUGCAAACAGUGCAUUAAUCUCCCCUUCUAUUGCUACAAUGUCAUGAAAUGCUUUAUGAGCAGUGGGGUGUCUAGUCAUACUCAUCCUCAUUGUCACAUAUAAAAAACCCUCAAGAUCAACACAAAUAUUUUAGCCUUUUCCCAAUCCUCCUCUUAUGGUGGUCCAACUGUUGUUUUUCUUGUUGUUAGUGUCACCGGAACAUACUCUUGUUCUUCUUCCUCCUCGAUCUCAUCUUCUUCAUCAAAAUAGCUUUUAUAUUUGUUCAUUUCCUCCGCAGCCAUCCUUUCAAAAGCAGACUUCACAUCUAAAUCUAUGUCCAGCAUUAAAAAGGUAGAAUUCCAUCUUGUUGGAAGAUCAAGCGCCGAUAUUUUUUCUGUGUCUAUGUCCCUUAUAAUGUCUCCUUCUCCAUCCACACCUUGAACACGUCCAAUCUAUUAGAACUACUUCUAAUAGACUUGACUGCAUUCUUAAUUGCCGCACCACUUUUAUCCAUUAAGGACAAACCAGCCUUCACUAUGAUGUUUAAGAUGUGAGCCAAACACCUCACAUGAAUGUGCUUUCCUCCAAACACCGGUGGGUCUUCCAUGCAGCCAUUUUCCCUUGAAUGUACUCUAUCGCCACCUUAUUUGCACUUACAUUAUCGACCGAGAUAGUCAACACCUUCUCUAUCCUCCAACACAGCAAACAAGAUUCUAAAAUAUUUCCUAUUAUUAUGCCUUUGUGAUUGGGAAUCACACAAAAGUUGAUGAUUCUCUUGUGCAAAUUCCAACCAGCAUCUAUAAAGUGUGUCGUCAACACCAUAUAGUUAAUGUUCUGAAUUGAAGUCUAAGUAUUUGUCGUUAAGCACACCCUGUGACUACUUAACACCUUUCGAAGCUCCUCUUUCUUCUCAUCAUACAACUUCCAGAAGCACCUUACUAUUGUUCUCAUAGAUGGUGGAGUGAAUUGUGGGAUAGCCACCUUGCAGAAAUGCUUAAACCCUUCAUUCUCAACAUGGCUAAAUGGCACCUCAUCAAUCACAUGCAAUCAUCUCAUAAGCAGCUUGUACACAACGAUCAUUGGUCCACACUGUUUGAAGUCCCAUUUCAGGUUCAGCUUCACCAUCACGGACAUUACCAACUAUCACAGCUUGUCCGUUGUCUCCCUACCAGGAUACUUCUUGCAUACCUUCUGCACAUGCCUACGAAAAGUACUAGUACCAUUAAAGGAAGAAUCCGCUUUCAGGUCAGCAUCACAAUGCACGCAUAUUGCACGCUUCUCAUGCCCCGCGUACACUUUCUUCCCAUCUCGUUGAGUGAAGAGUUUUCUGUCAUACUUCCUGAAGUGCUCCCACACCAUUGACGUUAAUUUUGAAGCAACCUUAGGUCCAAUUGAGGUAGAACCUCUCCUUUUUUUCGGCACACCCCGCGAAAUCUCAGUUACUGCUGGUGCUUCUUCUAUAACCUCAAUUGGAACUUCUAGUUCUGGUUCUAGCACCUUGUUCUCUGGCAUCCUAGCCUCCGCCGCAACCAAAUCAUUCCUUAUCUGAGUCUGAGCUGGUACUUCUUCAAUGUCUUCUUCUGAGUCGUAACACCCAGUCUCACUAUCAGAACUGACUAAAUGGCAGCCGUAUUGUGAUGAAGACGUCGACAUCACACCUGCAUGAACUCAAGUACACAACCAGCCGUAUUGUCUCAUUGGCAACAACAACCAUAACAACAACAAAACAAAAUCGAAAACGAAACAACAACCAAAUGAAAUCGAGCUAUGCACUAAAACAACAACAACCAAAUUAAAACAAAAUCGAGCAGAUGAAUUGGCAAAUGAAUUGGCAUAUGAAUCGGCAUAUGAAUUGGCAAUUGAAUUGCUAAAACAAGUAACACAACCACAAAUCAAAUUGGCAGAUGAAUCAUUAACACAACCACAAUCACAUGAUUCACAUCUUUUAACUUUUUAAUCGAUUCAGUCAUUGAGAUUUGAGAGGAAGAGAGAAGAGAUAGAACUCAUAGAAGCUGAGAUGGAAGCGAAGGCUUACCGGAGGGCGGAGGCGGUGGGCGACUGAGGAAGAGAUGCGUGCUAGCGUCGUCGAUCGAGAGGAAGAGAUGGGCGCCAGUCGUCGUCGAGAGGAAGAAAUGGGCGCCAGCGACGUCGUCGAGAGGAGAGAAGGACUCGAGAGAGGCGAAGCUGUUUCCAAAGUGUUUGACAGUUUGACUUAGGGUUACUCAAAUUCAAUUAAUCAUGUGUGGUUGAACUUAUGGUAAUAGUAUAAGAUCGUUAAAAUUAUGAAUUAAAUUCAGUUUACCCGCAUGAGGUUUGGGAGUAACUUCAUGUUAAUCCCUAUACUUUCAAUUUCAUCAGUUUACCCCCUUAAACUUUUAAAUUUUCCUCAAGCGUGACCAAAUGUCCUAUAUUCUGUCCAAAUCGGACGUUAACUGCUGAUAAUUUUAACCUUAACUGUGAGGCCAGUAUCUAGAAUUUGGGCAAAUCGAACCUUAUAUGUCCAAAUUGGACCUUAACUGCUGAUAAUUAAAGGUCAAUUCAAACGGAAUAUUAGAAUUUGGGCACGGCAGACAGAAAUUGAAGAGUUCAAGGGGUAAACUGAUGAAAAUAAAAGUGUAGGGACUAACAUGAAGUCACUUCCAAACCACAAGGGGGUAAACUGAAUUUAAUUAUAAAAUUAUCCAAUUGUUGAACGACACAUAUGUAUCUCGGACUUUCGAACCAAAACACUUGUUCAAAUUUAGGGACCGGGACCGGCCCGGGUAUAUCUAGGACCGGCCCAGACCGGCAGAAAAGAAAGAAGGGCCCGUGAAAAAACCCAACCUGGCCCGGUCGGGCCAAUCGGUUCGGUUUGGUCUUUUUUCUCCGUUCGAGUUUUAUUCCCAGCCCUAGACAUGAUGACCUCGUCGGUAGGUUUGAGCAGGCAGGCUUCAUUGGUGCGAUUCUUAAGCUUGUUUAGAUUUGUUAAAUUGAGGGAGAUUUUGGUAUGGAUACACGAUAUUGCAAAUAAUUUUGGUGUGAGUAUCUUUGACUGGGAGAGAUUUGUUUGUAAUUGAAAUUGAUGAGAGGAGAUCAAGAAGAAGAAAGAAACGUGAGGAGAGAUGAAUUAAUGAAUAAUUGAAUAAGAAAGAAAUGUGAGGAGAGCAUCUGAGAAAUCUAGCUUCUGCAUAUAUAUUAACAACAAGAGCAUCUGCUCUAGUGGUCUGAAUCGAGUCUUUACAACGAAGAUAUGCUGGGUUCGAGUCCCGGCCUUUGUAAAAUGUUAGACAUUUUUCAUUUGUGGCGUACUAUAUACAUAUAUUGACUGGUAUACGUAUAUGUUGUCUAGUACGGUAUACCGAUGGUAUACAAAAUUUGAUACUAUAGUCAUGCCGAAUACACAAACUGGUAUGAUAGUACUGUACCGAAUACGUACUGAGUUUUUUAGUUACCAACUUGGUUGGUUUGGAUUGAGCCCAAAUGCCAGCCCUACCUAAAACGCAAUUGCGAUACAAGUAAGACCUAAACAAGUUAACAUAAGACUCAUAGAUACAGACAACUGGCAAGGACAUCUUAUCCCCAGACUAAACUGAAAUCAAAUAACAGUUUUAUCCAUCCUUUUUGGGUCGGAGCUAAAACUGCUUCCAAUUUCAUUGAAGUAUGCCGAAACAUUCCUCCUAGCAGCAUAUCUUCUCACUACUAUCUUCAUUUUUUUCUUAUCACCAAACGACAACUUAUUCAUGCUUUUUGGCAGGCCUACCUCUCUUCCACUUUUCUUGUGCCUCAUACAUCACAUGAUUUAACCCCAAACUUGCAGGUUCAAGAUUCAGACUACGCUUACCAAAUAAACUGAGGCGGAGCUUCACUAGGGAAAUGGUGGGAACAUCUUCCUAUUUUGUUCACAACAUUACUCGGUAAUUCUAGCCACAGCAACCGAACCCAGUUGCAAACAGCUCUCUCAACAUAGCACGUUGGCGAGGAUGUGGCACUGAAUCUUUCAACGCCACACACCCGACAAGUUACCAAGAACAGAAGAAUUAACGACUAGGUUUUGGCCUUGCACCGAAAACCUAGCCCUGAAGUUCUCAUGCACUCACACUAGGGUUAAAGAACCCUCUCAUGUAGAAUACCGGGAUUGGCAUAGGCGUCGUCGACGCUGCUGUCAUUUGUUUGCCCAAUGUUGUAAACUCUGCCACCAGUCAUCCUCCUGCAUAGCCGGACUAGAACAUGCCAACACUAGAUGCGUCACCAGCCCACGCAUUGAGAAUCUUUCAAAGAGUUUGUCAUAUGAAACUUCCAACAAAUUCAAUUCCAUCCUCCACAAGAUACCAUCAUUUGAACGGAAUAGGCUUGUGCAGCCACAUCUCCACCAUAAUUCACAGCAUCUCCAUCUUCUUGGCUAGCUUGUCAGUAUUCUUGUAAGUAAAAUAGAGUAUCCAACCAUUGUCAUCACUCAUUUCGAGUGAAAGGCUAAAGGGAUGUAUUGCAGAGUUAUCCAAAAAAAAGGACUUCUCAAACAACACCAUUUCGAUGGAAAUGAUGAUGUCAUAAUAGGCCAACGCAACCACCAGUGCCUGGUUGAAGCCCCAUAGACCUCCCAUCCAGAUCCAGUCACGAUCGUUCAUGUCUAACAAGGUGAACAUCACCAGUCUUCCUUCCUCUUCCUUAACUUGCAUCGUUUCAUCCAACUGCUAUGUAGUCAUGAGCAUAUUCAAAAACUAAGGCACCUUUAAAUCCCUCGUUCUGAGUAGCUUUCCCACAAGAAACACAUUCGCUUGGCUCACACCCUUUCCAUGCGUAGGCCGCAUGCCGCAUGUGGACUUGCUUGCGGUCCUCAGCUAGAACUAAGUAUUUGCCAAACGCGCAACCAUUGCAUCAAUCAAACACAUCUCGUGGAAGUAUUGAUAAAAAAAAAAAACCUUAACCCUAGAGAGAAGAGAGCAGCUCCGCUUUUCUUGUAAACUAGUAAUUACUUAAUUUUAACUAUCAAGAAAAACAAAUUUUAUAAAUCUUCACUAAUUUCUUUUUUAAGAGGUCAACCAUAUGAAAACACGUAGACUUCUUUUCAAAAAAAACUUUGACAUAGUCAGUUGCUUUGGUCUAACGGCAUAAUAUUCCCUUGUUAGUUUGAAGUUGUUUUGAGGAGGAGGAAAAGUUGCAUAUAACGUCAAAGUUUUGUUUAGAACCACUUUGCAUUCUCUGCAAACAUUAAACUCUGUAAAAUUGUAAGAUGUCAUAUGUUAAAUCCUAGCUAGACAUUUGGUUGUUGGGUUAUGUUAAUUAAACUUUGAAGUGGAGAAGUGUGGCAUCAUAAGUUCUCUUAACUGCACCUUGAGCAUGGAGCAUGAACCUUGAAGUACAUUUUACUGUAUUAGUUAUGUAGAUUGGCAUAUUGGUUGUGUAAACAUAAAAGUAAAAAGGGAUUGAUUUCAUAUUUAUGACCGAAUGGGUUCUGGUUCAAAUGGUAUUGAAUUUUCACAUUUCUCUUGGGGCUUGAUUUCAUAUGAUUGACCUAAUGGGUGCAGAUAACAGAGAGUUAUGCCUAGUUACUUCCCAAAGAACGAGUUUCCAACCACAAUGUCAUCAUUAAGUCAUGUUCACACUGAGAUCUCCCUAAUUUCAUCAUAUUCAAACUUCAUGGACUUGUGAAUGUCAUCAGUCCUUUGUUCAAAUAGGCAAUAGCACAAGGAAAAUUCUAGUGUGCAGCACUGCAUACCAUGCAGAUCUCACUAGAAGACAAGAUAGCUGAGGUCAUCUAACAUUUUUGCAGAAAAUCCAACCGGAAAACCCCUCUAGCCAGUUUUUACCCUUUUAGUUUUACCUUUAGUCUUUGUGUGUUCAGUAAAAAAAAAAAAAAAAAAAAAAAAAACUUUUAGACGGAGCAUGGUGGGCCUAUAAGUAUAAAUUUGUUUACUUAAGUACAAAUAUAGAUCUAUCAUCUUCACUCAAGGGUAAGCAGUUAAUUUUUUAAUAACUCAAUUGCUACAGCUACAAGAUUAGAAUUUUUAGCAGAAGCUAAAUUAUCCUAUAAAGAACUACAAGAAGAAAGAAGAAAUUUGAGAAAACUAAAAGAAAAAAGAGACAAGUUUCCAAGAAGUACCAAAAAUUAUUGGGAUAUUAUCUUUCAACUACAACGAAGGAUAUACGAGUCAAGAGAAGAAAUUGAAGUUCUUCAAGAAACUUUUGAAGAAGACCAAAAACCUCUUGAUAUUUUGAGCAUCGGUUAGAUCCGCCAUAGCUGGUAUCAGAGCCUGCUUGGCUCAAAAGCAGGUGACAAAAGGCUUAUGCCACAGAGUUGGCUUCUCUCAACCAACAAAAGAGAAUCCAAACUGAAAAACUAUCAGUCUUUUUGUACUACAAAAGGAACUGAUAAGUGGGAAGUGUGUUUUCAUUCAAGGCAUAUACAAGAAAAUCAAUAUUCCAUUGAAUAUAUUUGUAGAGUACUAAAUACUCUAUACGACGAGCAUAUUCAUCUCCAACAGGAGAUCGGAGUAGAAGAGCUUGAUCCCUCAAGACCAAGCUUAAUCGAGUUCUUAAAUCAUUUAUCUAAGAAUAAGACCUCUGAAAAGGUUAUAGAGCAACUCGAGAGAUUUAAUCUACGGAUUACUCAACUUGAGGAAAUAAACUCAAAAAUUAGCAAGCUUGAAAUCAAGCUAGAUUACCUCAAGGAAAAACAAUAUCUAGCAGAUAUUGAAAAGAAAUUAGUUCGUACUGAAAAUCUUGCAAACAAUAUUCAUCAGCAAGCAGUAGAACUAAGGAAUACUCAAUAAAACUUGAAAACGCUUUUAGAAACUCUCAUUACAAGAAUAGGAUGAAUCUGAAAGUAGAUCUAAAAGUAAAGCAAGAAGGUGUUAGAGCUAUUGGCUUUCAUCAACCUACAGAAAAACUUGCCGAGAAUGUAGAAGCAAUAAUCCUUCAGCAGAAUUAUAACAUCGCUUAUCUCCAAAAGAUAGGUACUGACCUCGAAAUUCAAUUUCGAGAGUUACAUAAUAGAAUCUCUAGUCUACAAAAGACUUUAGAGAAAAUGAAGGAAGGAGAAAAUUAUGAAAGAACUGAUGAAGAAUCACUGGCUCAAAGUGUAGCUAGUAAAAUCAUCAUAAAUUCUCCACCCCUACCAAUGGGAGAAAGUAGACUAAGGUUUAGUGAACCAAAGUUACUUGAAUGGAAAUCUACAAAACCAGCUACCAAAAGAGAUAUGAAGAUGCUAAGUAGAAUUCUUAGCAAAAGAAACAUAGCUCUAGUUCAGCUGAUAAAUGCUCAAGAAUUUGAGUAGAAUGAAAUCGAGUCUAGUGUAAGGGAAGCAUCUGCCCCUAGAUUUAGAUUUAAUGAGAUCUAUAAGAAAGGAUCUUUCCUUAUGGAUUCACACAGAUUCAAGAUUCUUGAAUUAACCGUUCCUGCCACAGGAGGAGAAACAGAUAUCAGGCUAAUAACUCCAAAAGAAGUAAGUGAAGCAUUCCAGAAAAAAUAUUCCUAUAUGCAUAUUGGUGCGGUUCAAGUAGGAAUAAAACUCUUAGCCAGAGAUGGUAUUGACUGUUCUGUUCUAUGUGUCUUACAAGACGAUAGAAUAACAGACUUCAAGAAAAGUCUGUUAGGAAUAGUAGAAGCUUCUUUGUGCAACCAAGUUACAUAUUUCAAUGUUUUUCCAAACUUCACAACGCAUCUCAAAGAUGCUACUCACUGUCUAAGACUAAGAAUCAAGACAGAUGGGAUUUCUAUGAAAAAAGGAAUGAUGGAACUAGCGAUAGAUUAUCGCAUCUAUUAUAAGUUGAUGAGCUCAAAUGUGACUCCUAAUACCAGGUUUCUGAAUAGCCCUGGGAUUACCACAUCUGUUCUCACCAACCCAAAAAAUAAUUCUCAGCAAAAACAUGUCACGAAAUGGCAUGAAGUAACAUUCCCAAGAGAACGGAAUCUGACCCCUCCGGUCAGACAGCUUGAGAGCUCCAAUGCCUCAGUCUAUGAAGACAUGGGAGGAAAAAUCAGUAUACAAUUUCAUAGGCACUCUUUUGCAAAUUAUGAAGAAGCUAGUACCUCGGAAACUAAAACGGUUUAUAACGAAGAAUCUCUGGAAGAAGAGGAUACUAAAAGACCUAUGAGGAUGUUCCAAGCAAUGGAAUUAAAAGAGUUAUAUGCACAAGCUGAGACUUGUGAUUCUCCAGAAGAACUAGAGAAGAUUAUCAAAGAAAUUUCUCAAGUUCAACUUGGAAAGAAAAAGAGGAAGAUUCUUCCUUAUCAAGCAGCAAAAGAUGAACCAGAGCCAUCAGGAGCAUCAAUGGAGACAGAGGAUGAAAGACAGACACCUCCAGGAGGUGGUCAUACUGUAAUACAGAACAUCACCAACAAUCCUACAAAGAUUAUUCGAGAAAAGAAUAUCAAGCUUCCAAAAGGACAAGCUCCUACAGGAAGAUAUGGAGAACGAAGUUCUCAGAAAUACAUCCCUACAGAACCCAAAUGGGGACAAUCAGUGUCCGAGAGAGGGGUUUAUCUGGAUUUGGACCAGGUAUGAGAUAAGAGAAAAGUCAUAGACAACUGGGUUGCUAGUUUAAAGCUAACUCAGGCCCUAGUGUUAUCCAAAUAUGCCUAGAGGAAGCUCAUGCAUACUAUGAGUCUACCUUAACUGGAAUAGUCCAGAAAUGGUAUCAGUCCUUCAAGAGAAGUUCUCAAUGGACUGAUUGGGCAGCAAAAAUGGCUCAGACUAAUAAUCCUUUAGAUUUUGCAGUCCCUAUCUACGCACAAUUUUGCGGAGAUAUCACUGGACAUAGCAAGCAAUCUAAAGAAAGAGCUAAAGCAAAUAUUCAAAAAUUGAGUAUUUGUAACAUGAGGUAUUUCGAGAAAUAUACCAAUGAGUUUCAAAACUACUACUGCACCAUCGGAGACAUUGAAAAUAAUGAUCUCAUCAGAACAUAUUACAGAAAAUUGCCAGAACCCUGGAAUGAUGCAGUAGCGCAAUCAUUGGAAGAAAACCCCCUUCAGUAUUUUAUUGUUGGAGGAAUAGCAGAAAGAGUUAGGGAUCUCCUAAGAAAACAAUGUACAGAGAAUAGAAAAUCCAAAACUGCCAAGGAACAACUCAGAGGAGUUGAAAACAUGUGUCCAAAGAUUUUGGAUACCCCGACACAAUGGGGAUGUCAUGUUUUGGAAAAGAAAUACAGAAGAAAAAUUCNNNNNNNNNNNNNNNNNNNNCAUUAUGCGAAUGAGUGUCCGAAAAAGGAUAAAAGAACUUCAAAAGUCUUAAUGGCAGAAUAUGAGGAAGCUAUAAAUUAUGCUAAUCUAAAAGGCUUUGAAGUUGUUUAUUCUGAUGAAGAGAAUGAAUCAAUAUAUUCUCUUGAAUACCCAUCAGAUAGUGAAACAGAAAAUACUUCAGAAGGUUCUGAAGAAGAUGAAAAAGAAAUAGGACAUCAUCCUAUAUUUGUAUUACAAAUACAGAAUUGGAAGGAAGAAAAUGCUGAUAUUAUCAGCACCUUUCAUCCCAAUCCUGGAAGAUUUGUAUGUGAUUAUUGCGAAUGCGAAGAUGAUAGUACUAUCCCCAUGUACUGCGAAAGUACAGGAGAAACUUAUCAUCAAGAAUGCUUUAUUGCAGAACUCAGAAGAAAAACUAAAGAUAGAGAUGCUCAUACCUUGGUAGAAAAGGAAUAUAUUGUAUUCCAUAGAGAAGAACAAGAAAAAGAUCUUAAAAAGGAUAUGAACACGAUGAAGUUUAUAACUUCAUUAAGCCAAAACAAGAAGAUAAAAGAGUCUUUUGACUUUCUUACUCCCACGAUUGCUGGGACAAGUGCCAAUCCGAUAAUUAGUAUUAAUCCUCCUGAGUCCAUAACUGCUGAAAGACAAGUUAAUCCUUUCACAGAUUUACUUGUUGCUCCAAAAAAGCAAGAACAAGUAAUGCCAGUCCAAACAAGCAUAUAUAGUAAUUAUAUUACUAUAGGAUUGAAGUUUCCCAACUAUAGGAAAUAUCAUCUACACGCAUUUGUAGAUACUAGUUCAGGGUACUCUCUUGCCAAAAGAUAUGCUAUCCCUGAAGAAUUUUGGGAAAAAUCUCCAAGAACAGUUACUGGAGUUGCCAUGGAAGAAAACAAAAUCAUCAUGAAUACCAUGGCUCGAAAUGUAAAAGUUUCUUUGGGAGGAGGAACUUUUAUCAUCAAAAUGCUCUGGCAAUGCGAAGGCCAGACUGCUGAUUUGUUAUUAGGAAAUGACUUCCUUCUUCAACAAACAGUAAUCCAAACCUCAGAAAUGAUUGGGUUUGAGAAAAAUAACAGAUUUCAUUGGGAAUCUAGAUUGACAGACGCGGUACGCGUUACAACCAAAGGUUUCACCAAUCCUUACCAGAAGACGCUUGCGAAGAGUGGUGAUUAUAAGUCAAUUCUGAAACCAGUUUUACCAAUUUUGCAAGAAAAACUUAAGGGACACAGUGAAAUACUGAUAAAUGAAUCAACAAGUUCAGAAGACUCUGAAUCAGAGACAAAUUCUGAAUAUCAAAUUUCUGACAAUGAGGUUCUGAUGAAGAAGAAGAAUACAUCAGAGAACAUAACUUAAAGGUAUAUGCUAGGAAAGCAGAACAAAAAAAAAUACCGACUCUCACAGAAAUAGAAAACUUGCUGAAACCAGUAAUCAGUGAAGAUCCUCAGUUGUACUGGGAAAGAAACCUAGUAUAUUGUCAGCUCAAAAUGCAUGAUGCAAAUACUAUUUGCCAUGUCAAGGCCAUUCCUCACUAUAGAGAAUAAGAUAGGAAGGAAAUGGAAAGUCAGAUCCAAGAGCUUCUUGAAAAGAAGUUAAUUAGGCCUUCGAAUAGCCCUCAUCAUGCCCCAGCAUUUUUGGUAAGAAAUCAUGCUGAACAACUAAGAGGAAAAGCUAGAAUGGUGAUUGAUUACAGAGAUGUAAAUAAAAAGACCGUUAAAGACGGUUAUCAAAUUGCUCAGGUUAGAGUUCUCAUCAACAGACUUAGAGGCGCAAAGAUUUUCUCUAAGUUUGAUGCAAAAUCAGGCUUUUGGCAAGUCAAAAUGCAUCCUGAUUCCGUUGCUUUGACAGCUUUUGGAACUCCUCAAGGGCAUUACGAAUGGUUAGUUAUGCCAUUUGGAUUAAAGCAAGCUCCUAUUUUCCAAAGGAAAAUGGAUAAUAUCUUCAAACCAGUUACAGACUUUUGCAUAGUUUACAUAGAUGACAUUCUUGUCUUCUCAAAAACUAUGGAUGAACAUUUAAAGCAUCUUGAGCAGGUGUGUAAGCUUAUUGUCCAAAAGGGAAUUAUCCUUGGACAAAAAAAGAUUCAUCUUAUUAAAGGUGAAAUUGAUUUCCUUGGCAUUCAUGUUAAGGAUGGAGAGAUUCGUCUCCAAGAUCACAUUGUUAAGAAAAUCAGCCAAUUCCCUGACAAUAUUCCAGAUGCGAAGUCUCUACAGAGAUUUUUGGGAGUUGUUAAUUUUGCGAGAGAUUUUAUUCCCCAAGUUAGUAGUCUAACUGCUCUCCUCUCUCCAAAAACAAGUUCUAAGAAAAAAUGGUCUUUCACAGCUGAUGACAGUAAUACUGUCAGAAAGAUUAAAGAAUUAACAAAAAAUCUUCCUCCUUUACAAUUACCUGAAGAAGGAGAUCUGAUCAUUUUGCAGACUGAUGCAAAUGAUUAUUACUAGGCAGGAGUUGUUUUAGCUGUUGCUCCAGAUACAAAUCAUGAAAAGAUUUGUAAAUUUCAAUCUGGAAAGUUUAACGCUGCUGAGUUAAAUUAUUCCACCGGAGACAAGAAAGUCCUGGCCUUAAUUAAAAGCAUCAAGGGUGCUGAGGCAUACCUAGGAAAUAAAUUUGUAGUUAGAACUGACAACAAAAGAGUAAAAAACUUCAAAAACUACAAAUUGACUGAUGCUGCAGAUAGAGAAAGAGUGUUGAGAUGGCAAAUGUUUUUAACUCGAUAUGAAUAUGAUGUUGAAAUGGUUGCAGGAAACAAGAACUUUUUGCCUGACGCGCUUACAAGAGAGAUAGUGAUGUUCGAUAGAGAAGGUCGCGAUCCCAGAAGUCGAAAACCGGAAUCAGAGGAAAAUAAGCUCUGGGAAAGAUUCAAAAGAGGUGAUAAAACCGUAAGACCUCUUCAUGACGGACCAAGUUAUCAAUAUAUGGUCUCUUAUGGAACUGUUGAGUCUAGUCAAUCUUCAAGAAUCAAGCCUAAACCAGACUUUGAAGAAGAUGGUCGUUCCAGUCAUUCCGGCGGUACUAAUGAAGAUAAACUUGUAAAUGAGUUUUUGCUGUGUCCGAAAGGAUCAGCCUUAACUGAUCAGUCUCAGGGGUUUAGGGUGGCUAGCCCGUCUCAAACGGCAGACGGUAAAGACAUAUCAAGUCCGUUGAUGGCUGCUGCUUUGCCAAAAAGCAAGAAAGGCCCUCUCAGGGCAAAUAAGCUACCAUUAGUCACAGGAAAGAAGGUCAUCCAUGAUCAACCUUUGAAGAUCUUUCAGAAGCCAAUUUUCAGAACAGAUAGGCUAUUGGCUUUUAAACAGAAGAUUAUUAUUGAUAAUAUUCUGUAUUCUUUCUAUGAGGAAAAUGAAGCUCAUUUACUUCAAACCCUCAAGGCUUUAACAGAAGAAAUGUAUGGAGUCCAUACAAAAGACAAAAGAGUUCUAGCAGAACCAUCUAAAGUUGUAUACCUCGAGAGUCCUGAAAGCGCAAAAAUUCCUAUGCUAGCUUUAAAGGAAUCUGAAUGGUAUAAUUUCCAUAACCUCUUAGGUGAAGGAAAAGAUGUUCUUCCAAGAACAUUAUCAAUAACCCCUGGCCCAUAUUAUGGGAAAUAGCUGGUUGAUGUUCAAGCAGAGCAUCCUCAGAAGCACAAGCUAUGGCUCAUAGAAAAUGGUUUUGUUCAUAAUUUAUGGACAAAAACCAAUGAAGAUCUUAAAGGCUUUCUAGAAAUAAUAGCCGAAGCUGUCAAAAAUAUCAAACCCAAUGGAUGUAUCCUAAAGAUAAAAUUCAUUUCAACACCACCAGAAUAUACCAUGGUAAAUGGACAGAUGAAUUAUAUCUCUCCAUAUCAUUAUGUCAGAUUAAUCCAAAGUCCGGUUCAAAAGCCAGCAUUUAUCAGUGGCAAUGGGAGACCAAAUCAGAGCAUUCCAUGGAUGAAAGCUAUGAUCAUAGCAAUUAUCAAAAAUAUAGUUCUGAGAGACUAUGAUUCAAGCCUCCUGGCAAGUGGAGAAAAAAUAAUGGUCACCUGCUAUAAUCAUCCUCCUCUUGAGAACUGUGACUUUUUCGCAGCUCUUAUGAGAAAUGAAGUGGAUUGCACUCUAGCUACCACUAAGUGGCUAGAAAAAGUUGAGACUGAAGAAAAAUAUAAGAUUUCUUAUCCCUAUGAUUCAGACCUCGACGGUGGAAAUGAAGGCACUACACAUGAUUGGGAAAGUAAUGGUCCCAACUCCUCAGUAGGAUAUUCUGAAGAUCCAGAAACAUAUCACAACAUAGUAAACAUGUUGGAUAAUUGAGCGAUGGCUGACGCUUCAUGCCAAACUACUUUUCUUUUGAUAAAAAAAAAGGGAGCCAUCAGCACAAGAUUUCAAACGACUUUACUUUUUCAAAAGUAAAGUUAUCAGGAUUAGAUCCCUCUUGUCCUCCACUUUGUACAGGUGUGUUUUAUUUUUAGCUUGAGUUUCGUCCCUAUAUAAGGUCCUCAAACUUCAAAAGGAAGGCAUCGAAAAAACAACGAAAGACAAAAGUUUUUCACUCUCCAACCUUUCUCAAGAAGUAGUAUAGCCAAUAAACAGUCUUUGUAAUAUAGUAAGUGUGAGUAAGAGUGUAUGUGAGUCAUCUGGUGUGAAGUACUGUAAAAUACAAAUAAGUAUUUAUCUUGUAAUUAUGAGUAGCUAAAUAACUUUUAGCUGUUUACCUAAGAGCGAGGCUUUAGGUUUUAUGUUUGUAUCUUUGGUUGAAUAAAUUCAUCUUGGUGCUCAAAAUCCCGUCACAAAAAUAAUUUGCAUAUAUAUUAGUCUGUUAUUUUUUGUUGUUUUACUUAAUCUCUGCAUUACAAUUAGAACCAUUUCUUUUUAAGACAGCAGUGAUUCCGCCGUGCAUAGUAACCAGGUCGACCGAGGGUCUUUAGGUGAAUCUUUUCGGCAUGUUGAAGGCUAGUCUUUUUUAGGAAUGUUUUUAGUUAUUUACAGGUAAUUAUAAUUUGUGGUAAUAACCUAUAGAACAAGUCACUAGCAGGUCAUCUUAAGACCACUUGCCUUUUAAAGACAAUAAAAGCAGUCUGCAUCCCAUGCAGCACUGCAUAACAGACAUACCCAUCAAGGGAAAAAUGCACCAGAAAUGCUAGAUCUCAUGGGAAGAAUUUUCAAGUCUAUGGAACAAGAAGCCACUGGAUUACUAGUUUCAAGAAAAGCCAUUAACUUCAGAUUCGAUCAUGGAGGUGGAGUCUAUCCCAGGUGUUGUCUGACGCAAAAACGUUGUGCUGCCUAUCUUACUAAGCCAGUUUUUAUUUUUAUUUUUUAUGAUUGAUUACUAAGCCAGUUAUGAUUUAUGAACCGUUACUUUUAGAACUCUGUGACCCAUUAUCCAUUAACAGCUGAUACCUUCCACAGGUAAAUAUAAUCGUAAGAUUAGAACACAAGUAAUUAGAUAAAUGCAAGCAACCCAGGAACCUAAAUCUUGUGAAUCCAAAAGAAACCCAUCUUACAAAAUUAUACUUACCCGGUGUAGAGCUUAAAAGGAAGUUCACCAUAGGAUCCCAAAAAGAUUUGACCAAUUGAGAUCUUGCCAUGCAUUGCAGCUACCAUAAGCUGAGUCUGGAAACCAUUCAAGUCCAACAAAACCAUGAGAACUUUACAACCAGCCAAAACUAAACCACAGAGAUCAAACAUUUUAAAAGCAAGAAACUAUCAUAUUCAGAGCCAAAAGUAAACCACGUCACCUGCUUGUGAAUAUUCAACGCAUCAGGAAUUACAGAUCGUUCUAACAGCUGAGAAAGAAUUUGCAAAUCAAACCCAAAACAGAGCAAAAAUGAUCAGACCAAACAACCAAAAAGAACAAGGAUUUCCCAGCAAGAAACAAAAACCCAGAAAAACCCAUUUGUCCAAAACCCCAAAAAUCUUGAAGCAAUGUCUACACAUGACUCCAUAUUACACAACAAUAUCCAAGAUGUUUUGAUUGAAUAAUCUAAACUUUGAUCAAUCUUGUUCAGACUACAAAAUGCAUGUAGUUCUUGAAAAUAAGUAUCCUACUAUACAUAAUCCAUCUACCUGCAACAGUAAAAACGAUAACCAAUCUACUCCGAAGUAAAAAAUCAUAGCUAGGAAGACUGUUCUCUCUGCUGUCUUCAUAUUUGGGAUUGUCAAACCUAUUUUGAAUCAGAAAAAAUAACAACAGUUUGCAACCACACCAAAAAAAAUUGCUGAAACUAAACAAUUACUUGGAGUUAAUUACUUCAUGAUCAUCUACCACAUUGGAGCAAUAUAAGUCGAUAGAAGCCAUUGACGUGAAGCUACUGCCAUGCCAGAUUGAAUUUAAGCCAUACUAAAUCUAAAUACAAGUCUGAAACGAAGUUCAGAAGGGCAGCAAUAUAGGUCAAUAGAAGCCAUUGACGUGAAGCUACUGCCCAUGCCACAUUGGGUUUGUGCCAUACUAAAUCUAAUUGCAAGUCUGAAACGAAGUUCAGAAGGUCCUGAAACUGCCUCUAUUGAACUUUCUUGCUGAACGAUAGGAAUAGAAUGUAAGCACAGUAAACUUAUUACUAUAUAUUCUUUGUUCAUUAAGUGACCGGCUUUUUGAGCGCGUUUAAAGUGUGUUCACAUUGGCAAGCAUCACUCGUCAAAUUUAGCCGCCUCUUCCACAGAUAAUAGGUCGAAACAUUCCUCUGCAUCUUCCAUCUCGGACUUUCAUAUAACCUACAAACACAACAAAUAAUUCAUAAUUCAUGACAUCAACAUUUCUAAGUUCUAGUUAUAUUUUCUAUUUUGGUCCACAAAUAUCAACACUAUUUUAUUCUCAAACUCCAGGAGAUGAAUCGAACUUACAGAUGAAUAGCUUGAGAUGCAAUGAUCAAGAUUCCGAAGCAAAGUUGUUGUUGCUCCUGAAACUGUAAAAUUGCAUUAGGAAAGGAAAAAUACAAGUAAAAAGAGUAGCUUACUGGCUUGACUUUUUGGCAUGAGAUAUAGACAUUAAUCCUAAAAGCUUACUGGAGAAUUUAUUAUGUCAAUCUUGUGCCAAAGCGAUCAAACAAUGUUCUUCUCAAACCCUCUCUCAUUCUUUCAAACUUAAAUAACAGUUAAAGAUGGUAAAUUCUAAAGAAAUGCUCCGGUGUUAGCUGGUACAAUUUUUUCCAUCAACAAAUCUUCUAUCAAAUCCAUCGCGUGACUAAACAGAGUAACAAACAGUAAUAUCCAUUUGAAACUAACAUUCAGAACCAAGAUACUUUCUUAUAACAUGUCCACCGUGCACAUAAACGGAGCCAUGUAUCUAGCCAAACCAAGUUAAUAAAAUAAAUAUAAAUAAAAAAGGAAAAGGUAUAUACUGUAUAUAAAAGAAAACAUAUCAAAAUCAAAUUGGUAAAAGGAUAACUGAUAGUUCACCUGUCAAAAUAUAUCUCAAACCCUUUGGAGUAGAAAAAUUCGCAGUUUCUGUGAGUGCUCGCGCCUUGCCCAUCAAAGCAACCUGAAAGAAGAGAAAAUAAUUAAAAAAAGAACAACUUUCCUAUUCAAAAAUCCAGCGCAGCAAACAUAAGAGUCUGCAAGGAAAAAUCUCUAAUCAAUUAACUUUUAAUAGUCCCCCAAUAUUUUAAAGUAAAGCUUGUGAAUUAGCAGCUUAAAGUGUUAAAUUUCUAGCAUACAUGAACACCUACUUUGACCUCUUUCUUUUUGAUAUCACAUCCUUCCACUCAUCUUCCCAAGUUAUACAGAAUUACAGAUUGUUGCACAGGUAGUAUCUUCACAUUCUCAUAUUCAAGUCCAUGAUAUGCAUGCAUAAACUUAUCUUUCAUCCCUAUCAAUUAUUGACGGCAAAUUCUAAUGGACUCUCUUAAGCUUAGAAUUAUAUUAAAUUAAACACGUUAUCAUGCUGCUCGCAGUUGCCUAGCCUUCCAAGUUCUCAAAAGCAUUUCAUUAGGAAAUCACCAAUGCCCGAUAACCAAAACAUGUAGAGUUCACUUCAAACAGAAAAUUUAGGGGCAGAACAGAAAUUGGUACACAGAUUUUACUUCUGUUUCCAAGUCAAUCCUAAAAUCCCUAAACCCCAGUUAAACCCCCUAGGUAUAAAUUGGUGAAGUUUACUACAGAAAGAAAUAAUAACACCCUCAACCUAGGGGGUCACUAAAACCCCAAUUACCCCUAGUCAAAGCAUUCAGCCAUUCCAUUAUCACAAAGCUAAUUCCUCUAUUGAUUGGUAACAUGAUCACUGCAAAACACACCAUUUAAACCAAGAAACUUAGCCACAGAGAAACCAAAAACUGAGAGCUCAUUCACAGCAAUGGGAACUCGAAAUGCUUAAUUAACAUACAUAAUUCAGCCUUGCUGCUGUGUCAGUAUCAAUCACAGAAAAGUUAAACUUCAUUAUAAAAAUAUGGCUGAUUAGAUAUAGUUACUGUUUUUCCUAUCAAUGAAAGAGAUAAAUUAUGACUUACAGAUCAAAGAGCAUGAGAAACUUAUCAAUACCUCAAAAAAGGAAAGCACCCAGUAAUGCUAGUAACAUGUACCCAAUCACCCAUUACCCCUCCAAAUCCCGAGGGAAAAAAAAAAGAAAAAGAUAGAGUAGAUUUCGUUCAGUUUCCAGGAACAAAUAAGAUAACCCAGUAAGAACUUCAUCAAUAAAGUAAAAGCUACAACUCCACAACUCAAUUCCUCAUUAUCCAAAGCAGAACAGGUAUUAGAGAACCUAAAUUUACAGCAGAAGGAUUCAAUUCAGAUCGACUUGAUGCUUUUAAAGAUCACAUGCAUGCACAAAAGGCAGCAAUGCAAAGAAAUACCCCAAAACUUCGAGUGAGUAAUCUCAAGGACUCCAAAUUCUGCAUAAUAUGAAGGAAACUGACAAAUCUUACCAAAAAUGAAGAACCUAAAUUCAUUUGCACCACCCAAAAGCUGCAUGGACCGAAACUCAAUCGAAUCACCAGAAUAGUUUAAAUAGAAAUUCAAUCAAGUCCCAGAUUUGAUCAAACUGAACAUAACGCAAUUGGUUGAAACCCAAACGAUCAAAACUUCAAUCUAACACCCAGAAUAUACAUAAAACCCAACAUUAAGAACCAAAAACCCAUAUCCCAUAAGUCAUCCUAACACUGUAUCAAACCCACAACACUUUAAAAAUCAAAACUUAAGCUGAAAAAUUAAAACUUUGAAAUGACAAAAGGGGACCAUUUUCUUACCCACACUUGUAGCAGAGAACCAGAUCGCAAAGGCCACCCAUUCUUCCAUUCAUGCGUAUUGUUCGUCCGACAGAAACCGUUCAUGCAAAUCAUGGUCACCAUGGCCCCAAAAUUCAACCCCUAAAACCAACACAAAAAACCCACAAUCCCAAAUCCAAAUCCCUAAAACCCCUACUUCACAAAUUAAGCCCAGGACAUCACAACAAUCAACUAUUCAAUAAACUCAAUUACCCUAAAAAAUAAGACCAACCUACCUCCUAUUUUCCCAAUUCGCAAAACCGAAAUCUCGAAAAGGCCUAGUCAUUCAAACACUGAAACAACUCUUUGAAGGGGAGCUUAAUGGGUCUGACUCGACCCCAAUUAAUGACAAGUAACAUGAUCAAUACAGAAGAUAUUCCCACUCAAUAAAAUCUCCAAAGAUUCAUUUUCUACCAUGCACAACUUAACGCAAAAAUGUAGACAGCUAUUUGACAACACAGUACUUUAAGUCUACAAAAAUGAGACAAAUUUUUUAGAAAAGACAGUACAAAGUUUAACAUUGACUAUAGCAGAAUUAUGUGGUUUUUAUGAAGCUUGCAAUGGUAAAAACUAAAAAGUAGUCAAAUCUUACAGAGAUAAAAUUAAGCUUUAAAGUCAAUAUUUGGCACAGAGAAUUAACAGUUUCUAGUUUCUACCAUGAACAAGACAACCAUAAGAUGCAUAACUGUGUAAUCAAACUUUUCACGAAUUUUACAUAAUGUCAUCAACUAAAAAUGAUGUGUACAAAUCACAUGAAUGACUGAAACUGCACUACAACAGUGAAUAUUUAACCAAUUGCAAAUGAUCAUAUAUAAAUCAAUACAAUCGAUCAGAUCACCCACCGGGCCUAUACAGAUAUGUAAAAUGAGGUAGCAAGCCAGAGGACUGAAAACUCAGUCUACAUCCACAAACACAAAGGAAGUACUAUCAAUAUCUUGAAACGUGAUUCUUCCCAUGUAUAAAUCAUGUAUGUGAUCAGGACAAAGAGGGAAACAUUUCAGAUGGAGACUCCCAUUGAUUGCGCCCAUCCCCGGCACCCAUUUAUUUUCAUCCAAGGGGGUUACAUUCAAUCGACUUUGCAAUAAUCGUACCCGAUAAACAAUAGUAUCUGUUCUGUCACAGAAAUGAGCAACACAAGAAUAUGGAGGCUCAUCAGAAGCUAAUCUAAUCAAAGCCAAAGAAAAUGCCCCAUCCACAGGUUUUGGAUCAGAAAGAUUUUUAUCUCCCAUCAUCUUUACCUCUCUUUCGGUGGGAAAGAAUACUUCUUCAUUUCCAUUUAUAUCAAAGACUUUUAAAUCCUUAGUAUAAUGUUGCAUGGCUUCACGUUUGGUGGAUUCAUGCUUUUCAGCUAGAGUCAGGAUACAAGAGAACCUCAAAUGAUAAGUUACAAUAGUUUUCACCAUCUUAAAGUUAUGGCAGCAGCAGUAAAAAUCAAGCCAUCUUCUCCCUACACCAGCAUACCACUUGAUGAUGUCAGCAUCUUCAAGAGCAGUUAGUAACGUGAUCGGCCUGGGACGACCCAUAGAAUUUGUAAACCCAAUCAACUUAACCAUCUUCCUCAAAACUUCUAUAGGCGCAUCAGCUUUGAUACAGACCUUUGUCAAAUCCUCAACUGUUCUCUUAGCAUAUUUCUGCUCUGCUUCUUCUGUUACCCUCCUUUCUUCUUCCUCCCUUGCCUUUCUAUCUCUGACUGGGUUCAGAUGCUUGUCUACUUGCUCUUGGAACUUAUCAUAAGAAUCUACAAGCUCUUCAGACAAUUGUUUUCUAAUGUGCCUUAGAGACAGAAAAGUACCUGCUGAUAACUUUCGAUACCAUUCCCAACGCUCAUCCAAGGACCCAAGGAACUCUUUCACUACUUCAUCAGCCCAGGUGCUGAAUAUUUCUCUGACUUCAUUCUCAAUUUGAUACUCAGAUUUCAAUCUAUCACCAGUCUUCAGCUUUUUAAAAACAUGGCCCAUAAUUUUCAUUCCCAAUUUCUUUCUAUUCCUCUCCCUAGCAUUUUUCAAUUCUAUAGCUCUGACUUCCUUCUGUCUAAGGUACUUUUUCCGUGCUCUAAUAGCUUUUUCAGACAUAGGGGGGUGCGACACCGAAGGUGGAACUGCCCGUAAUUCCAUGCCCAUGAAAUCAAUCUUCUCAGACACUGCACUGUGAAUAGAUGUCUUUACCUUAUCCACCAUCAAUUCCAAACUCCCUUCCAAGUAGUUGACAACCCAGUUCUUCAAAUCCAUAGUCAACAUUUUAGACCCGGACGUCAUCACUAAUAUCUCAUCCAAGUACCUAACCGCAUAUAUCUUCACAGGCUUGUAGAAAACACCAUCCUUGGAAACAAGCUCAUCCGACUCGAACUUGGGAUGCUCCUGAUUCUUCCUCAGACGCAUCUCCUGAAUCUCUUUAUCGAAACCAUUAAAGUAAAUGUUCAUCAAAACUGAACUCAACCCACUCUCCUGAGGAAACCCUCUUCCAAAGCAAAAACUACCCAAUUCAAUUCUCACAACGCCACAUUCAAACAAUGUCUUAAUGAUACCAAUCAAAACCUCAUCCUCUAUCUUCUCUUCCAUAAACAAGCAUAGCUUACUCACAUGUCGUUUUUCGAACACUCCCCGACUAAAGCCAACACUAAACCACCAGGUGGGAUUUUCAACAGAGUUCUUAAGGUACCUAAUGGCCGUGUGCCGCCCCAGAUUAACACGACCGCCAUAAGAAAACGUGACAAAGCGUUCAUCAUAAACAACGCCCAGUACAAUCCUAAUAGCUUCAAUCAAAACUUUGAGUUUCAAAGUGGGUAAGACCAACAAAGACUCACCUCCGUCGCCCAUUGAGACGCUAGAAGCUCCCACAUCGAAGCGAUUCUCGCGGAGCUGGCGACCCAUUUCGUGAAGAGAGAAGCGCUUGGAGACGGAGUGGAGAAGGCCAUUGUGAAGGGGUUGAGGGGUUGUGGCGGUGAGGUUUUGGCAGGCGGUGAGGAGAACGGCGGGCAAAGCGACGACGUUUUGGAGCAGGUUGGUGAAUUUGCCGCGAGGAGUGUAGUGGCUGAGGACUAAGGAUUUGAGUUGGGAGUCUGAAAGAGGCUCCUGUGGUGUAGAGUCGGAGGGAAGUGUGCUAGUUGAGAGGAGGUUGCAGAGUGAGCGGUUUGGGUGAAAUCUUCUUCUGAGGUUUAAGAGCAUCGAAGCCGAUCCCAAUAUGAGCAUGUCAUCCAAAACCCUUCCUUGGUUAUUUGCUACAAAUAAAGCAGCAGUCUUGUCUAAUAUUUGAUAUUUUAAUCCUGCAACUAGAAAUAGUUUGCCCAAUUCCAGUACCAAGCCAUCCAUGAAGCAACACAAGAUGUUGUUUCUGUUUUUGCCAUGAACUCCAAAUUGAGGAGCACUAGAAACACUUAUUAAAGAGAUGCCAAGGCAGUACCAUCAGGAAAUUAGCAAAGGGGUUGGUCAUUUUUCAGUUUCGUUUGUGUAACAAAAUAGAAAAACACUCAUCAUUGGACUAGAUUUAUGGAAGAUCAAUCAUGCAAAUGGUCACAAUAUGAUUAUCAAUUACUUCACAUGUCGAGUGAGUCCAAUCCAUGUGACCUCAGUUUACACAAGGAAUUUUAUUUAUUCCAUGACCAAAGAAAAAAGAAAGUAGAACAUAAUAAAAUCUAAUCUCUAACAACUCUUACAAAGUUGUUACAAACACACAUGUCACACAUAUCACAUUUGAGUCGCACUUUAGAAAUCUCGUAUAGCCCUUCGCUUCAAUGUUUUGUUCGUGCAGUUUACAAAUAAGGUGGACUUGUUGGAAAGUUUCUAAUGAGUACCUUAUAAUGAGUACUUUAUAAUGAGAACCAAAUGAAGACUUUUGAAUAAACGGUUAAACAAAUAUUUUUAGUUUUAGUUGAUAUUUUUAAAUUCCACCAAAAUGCUAGAAGCUCUCUCGUGGGUUUGUUUUCUUUUUUUGUUAUGGUCUAGAUGGAAUCACACUCUUAUUCAAUGCAAGUUUUCAAAUGUACACACAUUGGCGAUUGGGACGAGAACCUCAAUCACUUAUUUAUCUGACUCGUGCAUUUGUAUGUAGUGUUUUUUCCACCGAAACCAUCAGUGGUAGCCCCUUUAAACAAAACAGUGGGAGCCAAGAUAAUAGUGUCCGACAUUGAAAGGCAGGCCAUGAAGUUUCCUGGAAGUUGGAAGCCUUAGACAAAGUCCCCAAAUAGGACAAACUAACAUGGGCAAAUAUAAGUUAAUUGACAUUUUCAAACGAGGAACAAACCAAAAACAAGAAAGGGAUUGUUGUGACUUGACAUCUUGUCUAGAAUUGCAUACACGUUCAUCGCCCCCAUCAAUAAAAAAGACACUGUACCUUUCAACCCAAAAACUCCACACUCCACGCCAAACCGCCCGCGCUUCUACUCACCAUUUCAUUUUCCACGAAAUUUAUUCCAUACUUAGCUUCAUAAAAUAAUUAACGCAAUGAGAAUGAAUACUAUAAAAACCCAUGAGUUUAGUCUAGUGGAAAGCAUGAUGGGUCUGCUUGUUGAGCGAAUAUUACAGUGGCACUUCUGGUAAUAGGAGGUCACUGGUUCGAUCCUCCACAAGUAAAACAUCUUAUGGGGAGAGACCAUACCCAUGUUGCUCCCGGCCUCGGAGUGGUAGUCCCACCCGACCACCAUUUCUUGUAACCGAAAAAAAAAAAAAAGAAUGAAUACUAUAAAAGCAUCUUUAGCCACGUCAACCAUUUUCUAUUUGAAUUUUAACCAAAUUAACUAUCCAUAUUUUAUAAAUCAUCAGUUCUCUUACUUUUAUUAGAUAGUUUUAUUUUUUUAUUUUGUUUUUUACCGUAAUAAUCCUGAUUUUUAAUAGUCUGAAUUAACUUAAUAGGGUAAUAUUGACAGAAAAAUAUAAUUUGAUGAAUUUUCCGAACUCUUAGCUUUAUAGUAGUAAAUAUGUGAAUUUGUAUUAUUUAUUUAAUCAAUGAAAAGUAGGUCAAAUGUAUUUAUAAACCACACAUGAUUAAUUCGUUACUCUCUCUCUCUCUCNNNNNNNNNNNNNNNNNNNNUAUAUAUAUAUAUAUAUAUAUAGUAUAUAUAUAUAUAGUAUAUAUAUAUAUAUAUAUAUAUAUAUAUACUAUAUACUACUACUACUACUACUACUACUCUCUCUCUCUCUCUCUCUCUCUCUCUCUCUCUCUCUCUCUCUCUCUCUCUCUCUCUCUCUCUCUCUCUCUCUAGGGUUAGGGUUUCAUUCGAGAAAACAUUGCAAUGACUGCAGACCUCGUCUCCAAGCUUUCCCCUGCCACUAAGAGGAACCAGUGGAUCUUGAUAAUCUUUGGUGUCUAAAUUAAGGUUUUAUGGCUCCUAGGUUUUACCUAGUUGGCCGCUUGAACACAAAAAGGACUGUGGUUUUUUAUUCCUUUUGUAGUGUUGUGAAAUCAAUGUGGAGAUUAUUCACAACAGUGGAAGUUCAGGCUAGGGGUGACCGAUUCUUUUUUACCUUCACCAAUGAUAGAGACGUCAAUCAAGUGAAGAAGGGAGGUCCAUGGGUGUAUCAAAGUGCCAUAAUUUUGCUAAAUGAUUGUAACGAAUUUUCUGAUAUCAUGGCUAUUCCUCUUGAUUUUGGUGUGUAUUUGGGUGGAGAUCCAAGAUCUCUCGGAAGCCCUUAUGACGAUGGCGACGACGAGUUUGGUAGGGGAGGCCAUCGGAUCUACCAAGGAAGACUGAUAUGUCCCCAGGCCAAGGAAGCAGAGGCUACGGUUGCAGCGCUAGUCGUCGCCCCAAACCCAGCGACUUUUCCCAUGAUUUCUUAAGCGUAUUCAGAGCAGAACCUAGUCUGUCCCUCGAUGCCAAAUCUCUCAUCUCUUUUUCCUAAAGAGGAGAGAUCAGUUACCAUCCGAGAAGUACCAGAAUUCCAUUCUCUAGUCAAGAUUGUUGGUGUUAGCCGGCAAAGGGAAGAGAGAGCUCUGAAGAUGGAAAGCGUGCUACGAACAAUUUGGCGGUAGUUCUGUUUCACCUUGAACCAGGGGAUCUAGGGUUUGUGGUAGGUACCGAUAGUUCACUUGGAAUUCUGAAAAAGUCUCAAAAGAAAAGAGGUAGACCUUGGGGAAGCAGAAACAAGAAAAUGAUGUAGGGCUCUGGUUAGACGGACUCUAUGGUCCCUAUGAAGUAGCACCAAGAUCCCAAUACAAGAGUACCCCUUUACUUUGACGGCAAGGUACACCAUUAGAUAUUAGACCUCAUGUCAUUUUGGAAGGUUCUUUGUAAACUUAGAUAGGUUCAUUGCUUUUUAGUUAGUAAUUGCUUUCUAGUAGUGUAUGUCCACCUUUUUGACCAAUUUUUUUGGAUUAGGUUGUUCCCUUUCAGUUUUGUAUUUGUGUUCGAAUCAUGAGUUCUAAACUUGUAUUGGUGCUUGCUUCUGCUUGAUCUAGCAAUAUUUGNNNNNNNNNNNNNNNNNNNNNNNNNNNNNNNNNNNNNNNNNNNNNNNNNNNNNNNNNNNNNNNNNNNNNNNNNNNNNNNNNNNNNNNNNNNNNNNNNNNNNNNNNNNNNNNNNNNNNNNNNNNNNNNNNNNNNNNNNNNNNNNNNNNNNNNNNNNNNNNNNNNNNNNNNNNNNNNNNNNNNNNNNNNNNNNNNNNNNNNNNNNNNNNNNNNNNNNNNNNNNNNNNNNNNNNNNNNNNNNNNNNNNNNNNNNNNNNNNNNNNNNNNNNNNNNNNNNNNNNNNNNNNNNNNNNNNNNNNNNNNNNNNNNNNNNNNNNNNNNAUGGGAACGAAGAUGUGUAUCGAUAUGGGGGAAAAAUGGUUUGAAAGGUAACUUUUAGAAUUUGACUUUAUUCUUGAUAUCAAGUCAUCACUUGACAGAGGAAUUAGAUGAAUAUCAAGUCAUCACUUGACAGAGGAAUUGGAUGAAGAUUGGAAGUUUGGACAUGCGCAGCUGAUGAAAAUUGGGAGUUGAGGGGUGUUUUUGAUGAAAUUGAAAGAAUAAGGACUAACAUGAUGAUCGACCUAAAGUUGAUGGGGGUAAACUGAAAUUAGUCCUUUUUUUUUGUUUGAGGAAAAGGGAUGUGACUCCCGUGGGCGUAAACCCAUCCAUUGAUCGAAAGAUCAUACAACGAGCACUCUCGCUCAAACUAAGGGAUCUGAAGAUCAUAUAUUACAUCCACUGCUCAACUGACUAACUUAAUAGCCAGGCUACCAUCCAAAAAGAUGAUAAUAACUACAAUCUACAAAGAAAAUAAAGUCCAAAAAGGUGGACAAUCAAACUAAACCCAAAAGACUGCCCAAAAAAGCGGACAUCUAAAAACUAAUUUAUUCUUCAUAACCCUAAUUCCCAACAUCCGUCUUGAUUAGCUUGGGGCCUAGAGACCUUCAUGGUGUACCCCUCUACCCGUCAGAACAGUGAACAUCGUAGAAUGAGGGUUACGUAAAAGCCCGCUCGUAGAGACUCAAACUCGGAACAACGAGCCUAAAAGUAAAACGUGAGAGAAGAGGGAAAAUGGCCCAGACCCAAAAGGACCAAGCCCACUCCCACAUGCCUCUUCCCAACCCUCAGCCCACUUGGACCUGAGAUCCGGAUUGGGCACCAGAUCGAACCACCCAAGCUAGCCAUAGCCGUCAUCUGUCGGUCUCUGACGAGCAGAAGCAUCCUUCAGCCAUGGGAGUGGCGAACACGAAACGCAGACGCACCCAAAGCAAGUUGUCACCACCUUUGAGCCGUUGCUAACCUAGUUGCAAACGCCGCCGGACAAAACAACAAAUCAGUUCAUUGAGAAAGCGCAGAGUUAAGCCGCUCCUCCUCAAACUCCUCCCUAGCAGAUCGGCCUCCCUCCUAGCUUGCAAGGUGCUCCAUAUAUGAUGCCUCGUUUGGUUUAGGGUAACUAACAAGAAAGAAAAUUUGUUAUUGUCAUGUUAUGUGUAUUAAAAAAGGCAAAAGGAAAAGAAAUUCUUUUAUGAAUCUCCUCU